Molecule: long non-coding RNA, 69328 nt
Filed under: Medicago truncatula (barrel medic)
Lineage: Eukaryota; Viridiplantae; Streptophyta; Magnoliopsida; Fabales; Fabaceae
Description: long non-coding RNA (MTRU_LNC007902)
Source: RNAcentral
UUGGUGAAUGGUGACUGGUGAGUCAUGAUCUGUUUCUUUCUCCAUUUUCAACUUUCAUGCUCCUUGUUGGGUUAUUAUUAGAUGUUGCUUUGGAGGUGAUUGGUGUGUCAAAGAUAAAUGUUCAAGUUAUGACCUUUGUUUUUAGAAUUUUAUUUAUCUUCAAUUCUUGGUCAUUUCAUAGAUUGAUCAGCGUGAGAAUAAUGUUUUCUUGCAUUGCAUGUAAGUGGAUUGUUUUGGGGUGCCAGUGAUGUGAAUAAAAACCCAUCUGUUUCUUUCUUUAUUUUAUCUCAUGUUAUAUCAUUCUGCUUUGUCUUUAAUACCACUAGUAUUUUUUUUUUAUGAAGUGUUAUUGAUCUUUUGUGAUUGUGACCUGGCUAUAUUAUGGUUCAUUUGGUUGUUUUUCAACCUCCACGUUCACACUACCGUGUUUGAUUUGGUUGGAAGAGUAUCUUGAGUUUUCUGGCAGUUUGUCAUUUCCAUGGUAUUCCCUCUGUGAACUUGUCCUCUGGUUAGCUAUUUCAGUAUUUAAGGUAAGAUAAGGUUAGGUGCAUGUUGUAUUCAAGUCUUAAAUAUACUAAAACAAUAAAGAUCUUACACAUAGUACAUGGUAUAGUUACUAUUUUUGAUGUUUUCACCUUGGGUUAAAACUUGAAACAAAUAUUUUGUUGGUGCAUUUGAUUCAGCAGUAAUUCAAUUUUGACUGGUUUAUUGUCUGUGGUUGAUACUGAUACAGAAAUUCAAUUUUGACUGGUUUAUUGUAACUCAAUAAUGGCACAUUUAAACGGGUUGUUAUGGCUUUGACUUUUAAGGCCACACAUAUACCCUUUGAGAACUACCGUGUGCACCUUCUCCCUGGCUUUCCCAAUGCCAUGCAUUUCAUCAUUUUCCUCACAAAAAAAACAUACAAAGACACUUGUGACUACUGAGUUGAUGUGAGAAAGGGAUUGGUCCAUUAAAUGGAUGGUAUCUAUAAGUCAUAAGUUAAAAUUCAUCUGUUAAACACCUGGCAUCUUAGAGGCAUAUAGUAGUAAUUUAAACAACAUACUAGAAGGUAGGUUGAUUAGGUUGAUGGCAUCCUGUUAACUAGACAUUUUAGUGGAAGUUAGAAUACGCGUUCAGUUGUUAAAUUCAUCGUUAGCCAGUGUGAUUUUGCAAAAGCUACACUCUGUAGCUUAAAAAAAUACGGCAUCACUGUGAUUUUGUCAAAUUCGGUGAUUUCAAACAUGCACUUGUUUGCCCUAAAUUACUGGUAUUGCAAUCAACUCUACAUUGGCUAAGUAGUUGUAAGUAUAAUCAAUUUUUUGGGUAGGGGAGCUAUUGAGAAAACGAAUUAUUGGUGGUGUGUUGAUAUUUGGUUGUUACAUCGCUCUGGCAAUGUGAAUAUGUUAAAAAUGGAUUGGUGAUGCUAUCUGAGUAGAUAAGAAUUUCUGGAUAGCCUGAGAUAUGGAAACUGGAGGAGGUUGAGUAAACCAACUCAUCAUUUUUGUUUAUUUUUGUAUUUUUCUGUGUAAGGAUCGUUGGUGGGGUUUUCAAAUUAAGUGAUGCCAACAUGUUUUCUUAAUUAUUGCUAAACAGAAGAGUCAGCUACCAAUAAUUGUUGGGUCCCUUCAUGGAGUUACAUGUCGAGGUGAAACAUGUUGUGUUAAAUUCCAUGUAAGGAACGUAUUUAAAUCAUCGUAUGAUGGACGUUUUGAACUUACUUAGGAACUGUUUCUGGACCUACGUUACUUUUUUCACAAGGCCCUUGCAUUUGGGUGAUAAUGUGAUAUAGCCACGUAACUGGAAAUUGCUCUUGAGCCCCUCGUGUUUGCUCAAAAUCCCCUUAAUUUAUAGGAAUGUAUUUAAUUUUUCGAUGACACAAAUCUAUCGGAUGAUACACCUGCCAAUCUGAUUUUUUCCAUUGAAAGCUAUCUUUUGCUCGGUAUUUUUCAGUGGUUGGGCAACAUCUGGGUUCCAUAGAGCAAUUUCCAAUCUGUGUUUGUUCGGUUUGGUCUACCGUAGGAUUUCUGUGUGAGUUUGAUACCUUUUUUUUUUUGCGCAAUUAUGAUAAUCAUCAUGUUAAAACUUUCGUAAGCUGGUUGAAUCUCCUAUAACUAAUCUGUUCCUAAACUCCUAAACAUUUUGAAGUAGGUUUUUUUAUCAAGCACUAAAAGUAGUUACCAUCAUAACAACUAGCAAAAUAUUCGUACACUCGCACCGAUUCACUGGUUUGGUUUGUAUAUAUAAGUUCGGAAUUAUAAUAAACAAACAUAUUUUCCUUCAAAAAAAAAAAUAAACAAGCAUAUUUUUUUGUAAUUUUUUCUUAUUGGUAGAAACUAAACAUAGAGUUUAAGUAAAUAAAUAUCGCUAUAAGUUUACUUGAAAGAAAAACAUUAAUAAGGAUUGGAAUUGAAAAUAAUGAAAACACCACAACAUUAGUUAGUACAUCAAGCAUGAUAUAUUGUCUACGAAGACAAUAGUAACUGAAACCAAGUUGCUUGAUCUAAUACUGUUGAAAGUGAACUCCAUCCUAUCUUCAGCCUUGAAAUUAUUGCUAGCACAUAAUUCGUUCCAGCCUUGAGCACUUUUGGUUGUAGUUUUUGCUCCAUCUCUUUGCAAGACCUAGCAAUUGAUUUGUACAGCUGUAGAAUCAGUGGGUAUAAGACUUUCAUAAUUGUAAUGUCUUCGUAGUCCUUCUGAGAUGUUUGUUAAAAAAAGAUUAAAUUAUGUUUUUCAAUUAUUAUUUUCUCUAUUAAAGUAAAAAAUAACUCAUCCAAAUUGACACAAGAGAGAAUUGAACAAUGAGACGUACAGCAGAAACACACUUCAAGAUCUCAGGUGGGUUUAAACACACAGUAUCAAUUUUUAUUUUUUUUAAAUACACUUAAUAUCAAGUUAACCAGCAGUCUCCCUCAUUUUGAUUCAUGUUCUAAAUAGACUUGUAUAUGAAAUUGAAUCAUUUAUUUAAUAUCGGUAAACACAUACUAAUCGUACUUGUAGCCUUGAAAUAAAAUAAAAAAUAGUUGUAGGCUUGUUACGAAUAUUAUGUUGUUACCAUCAUAACUACAUUUUUUUUUUUUUUUGGUUUCUAAAAUGCUUUUUAGCCAUUGAAUUUGGAAAGAAGUUCUCAAUGGCAUAGAUCUUUAGACAUGUUGACCCACUAGCAAUGUAUAUUACUCCAUAAUGUUUAAUUUUUGUCUUUAAUAAAGUAAUGAGUAAAUAGUCAAUUUCCCCCCUGAAAUUGUAAGUUUCAUCAAUUACCCCCCUGAAAUUAACAAAAUUUCAAUUACCCCCUGAAAUUUCACAAUGUUAGUCAAUUUACCCCUUCCGUCAAAUUUUUCUGUUAGUGAACAUGACGUUUUGCAAAUAUCCCCCUGAAGUUUUGCACUUAUGUGCAAAAUGCCCCCCAAACUUAAAAAUUUAUAUUAUUUUUUUCUUAAAAACAAACAAUUAAUAGUUAAAUAUUAAAGUUAACUAUUAAUUUUGUAGUUUGGAAAAACCACAUACAUAUAUACAUCAAAUUAUUUUUAAAGUUACAUGUGAUUAAUAUAUUACUGAUGACCUGCAACAACAGGUAACUAAUACUGGCUUGACCUACAAAUGCAAGUUAUAAGACCAACAUAAAAAAAAACUUAUAAAUGCAUGUCCUACCAUACAUGAAUUAAGUGUAAAAUGAAUGUUAACCAUUAGAUGUAUUUUGAAAGUUUUUAAUGGUUGAGAUUUUCAUGUUUUAUCACUUUCUAAGAUUCCAAUUUUUAAACAUAUAAAUUGAAUUAAAAAAGGAAAUUGAUUUUGAAAUCACAAUUAACAAAAGGGUAGUUUUGGCAUUGUUGAAAAAAUGUUCCUCUUGUUAUUCUCUCACUGUAGAAUUGUUCUCUCUCUUUGGUUGUUUGUUUUUACCGAUCUAGCUGAUGGCAUAUUUCUUUUCUAGUAUUCAUGCUGAUUUGUUGUGCUACGGUCGAAGGUAAAUGGCGGAAAUCUUCCCGUCAGCGGCUCCGGCGAGAGAGAUAAUGAUAUUUCUCUGUGUGAAUAAAUAUUUCUCAGAUUGAUAAGGAAUCUAGUUAUAUGAUGAAUUGAGACCCGUAUGAAAAUACUCUAUGAAUUGUUGUAACUUCCGUGAAAAAUAAAGCUUAUUACCACGUUUGUUUUUGCAAGAACCCUAAAAAAUAUAAUUGCGGUUGACAAGUGGAUUUGCAAAAUAAGUAUGUGCCUUCUCUUUGCCUUUCAAAUCCGAGCAAAAAUAUGUAAAGUUCGUUGAAUUUCAUGGAGUAUCGAGCGAGAUCCGAUUACAUACGUUUAUCUCUUUCUCUAGAUCUAACAUGAAAUGAAGGAAAAUAUGAAUUUCCUAUAUUGUCCCUGUAAUAUUCAUACCAUUAAAAUGUGUAUGAAAUUAUUAUAAGAAUCAUUUAUAUCUUUUUAACUUUUAUAAUAGGUAAAUAAUGUACCUAACCUGCAAAAAAACAGGUCAUUUAAGCUUAAAAAAAAAUAUUGAAGUCUCUCAUGGUAGGAGACCUAUUGAAGUCUCCCACCCUAUAUGGCACCAGGCUAUAUGCCAUAAAAGAAAAACUGAGACACAAACGGUAAAAAAAUGUAAUUACAUUUUUGGUCGCUUAUUAUAUCUUUUAUAGAAUUUUGCUCUCCAAAUUUUAAAUUUCGUAAUUUUGGUCUUCCUAAAUUAUAAAUUUAUGAAAUUAAAUCAAUCAUCCAAAAUUUUGAUGAUGUGGAGAGUCUUUAAAUGACACGAUAACAUGUUCAUCCUGCAUGUGGAGGCUAUAUUACUUGUAGAGCAAUGCUAUAUAUCAAGAAAGAUUUUAUUAAGAAAUAGUCCAGAAAUUAAUGUUAGUCAAUAAAAUCUCAGAUCGGAAAUCAUGGGGUGGUGGAUGUUAUGUAUUUUUUUUAUUUUAUAAAACGUUAAUAAAUAAGAUUGAAAUUUAAGGGUUCGUUUGGUUCGCGGGUUUUGAAGGGGAGGGGAGGGGAAGAGAGGGAAUAUUUUAAAAUUUUUGUGUUUGGUUCAAUUUUUAGAAGGGGAGGGGAGAGAGAGGAAGGGGAACGAAAUCCCUCAUAAGCUCAUUUAUUGCUCCCCCUCAAAUUGGAGUUUUUUGGAGGGGAGGGGAGGGAAAGAGAGAUGAGUUAAUGCAAUUUUAAUUACAUUGACAUAAUAUCCUCAUGUUUAUUUUUAAAUGAAAAAUCCGUCCUUAUUAAAAAUUUAAGUGUUUUCAACAUAUUGCUUAUUACCAUCUUUUCUGUAACAUGCCAAUGUCAAUUUUUUUUUUAUCGAGAACUGCACAUUCUUGUCUUCUAAUUUUUUUUUUACGUGAAUUCACUUUUUUGACUAACGUUGCUUUUAUUUUUUUUAAUUUGAUAUAUUUAUUUUAUAGUUUUUAAUUGUAUUAUAAAACAUAAUUAAUAAAAUUUGUAGAAUAUUUUUUUUAUAAAUAUAUUUUAAAAAUAAUUUCUAAUAAUAAAUAUUUUUAUAUUGUACUAGAUUAUUUUAGAAGUGCUCUAAUAUUUAUGAAUACCUAAUAUUUUGUUAGAACUUUUGUGUUUGAUUAUUUAUGGAGUUUUUGAUUACGAGUUUUUAUGUUUAUAUUUUUAUGAAGUGAAUAAUAUAAAAAUCAUGAUAUUGUUUUAAGAUUACAGUGAUAAAAAAGUAAUUUGGUUUUAAAAUCUCUCCCCUCUCCUUAUGAACCAAACACAUAUUUAAUUAAAAUCCAUUUCCUCCCAUCAUUUGAACCAAACAUAUAUCUAAUUGAUAUAUCUCUCCUUCCCUUCCCUCCCUUUCCCUCCCCUCCAUUAAAACCCCUCCCCCCGUUGAACCAAACGGACCCAAUGAUUAUUCUGCCAUGUCAUUCUUGAAUCCAUCGUGAUUUUACAUUCGCUAUACAUAGCAUUAUGCUUACUUUUAUACUGAAAUUAAGUAGAUUUUUAGGGGAAAAUUAAAUAGUUUUAAUUAGCAUAAAUAGUUAUUAAAUAGUUCUCGUCACUCUCCCAUAACUUGUAUUGCAUGACUUUGUGAUGAUGUGGUGGUGUCCGUGGAAAAGUUGAAAUUGAAAGGUAUAUGGGAGGGUGACGAGAACCAACCACACAUUUCUCGGUGCAGCUAACAAGGGAUGUGCUAUAACUAUUGCAGUGGCAAAGUGUGCAUAACGUAUCAAGUUCAGACUCAAGUGUUGUUGAUAACAAAAAUCGAUGGCGCUUAGACCAGUGUAUGUUUUGGUCCAACUUGGACCAGUAAAAUUACCUGGUAUCACAGGUUAUGUUUCAGUUGUCCCAUACCAUACACCCCUUAUAGAAAAACAUGCUAGCAACCCCUUUUUCCCAAUAAGUUACUUAUAAGUUACUUGUUGUUCAACAGGUUCUGUUUCAGUUGUAAUUAAUGUCAUUAUUUUUUAGCUAUCAAACCUUAAAAAAUUUCCAAAAAAAAAGGUGGGUUCUUAAUCACAUUGUUUGUAGAAGCUUGUUGAGGGCAGUUUCAUUCACAAAACACAAAACUAUUGCUGAAUGCAGUUGCAUUUGGGAGGUGCCUUGAUUUUCAACAAGUUCACCAAUGUUUCAAUCUCCAGCCACCGACGAAGGUAGAACCAGAUCUAACAGUUGAGUGAGCGAUUCGGAAAAUCAAACGAGGAGUGAUUAUGUGUUUCGUAUAUUAUCUGCUUGUUUGUAUAAUAUUAUAAAUCUCCAUCAACACAUCCAUUGAUGACGGUUCUUGGAGCUUGUGGACCUAAUUAAAUGAAAAACAAUUUUGAUUUGAUUAAAAUUUAAUAAUAUAUUUUGAUGUUGAAUUUAUUAAUCUUUAACUGCGUUGUUCUAAUUUUCAGUUCGAUAGCAGUAGCACUUUCCUUUUUUCUUUUGCAUCAGGUAUCAGACCUUCAAUCACAACCAUAAUCAUCUAUUGUAUAUGGUCGGUCUGUGAUAGUAACAUAGACCCUUCACACCUAAUCAUCUCUCCCCGUUCCUUCUCUUCCCUUACCAUCCUUUCAUAUUCUUGAUUUAUUUCAUUUCCAAACAAUUUUGUUUAUGUUCCUUCGAUUUGAAAAGUAUAAUAUCGUUGUAAGUUCUGAUGAAAAUUGCAAAAUGGAGAUGAUGAGAAUGCUUGUUAACUAUUACAGUCAGCAUAUUAAAAUUAAAAAAAUGGUGGAAAAUAAAAAUAAAAAAGUUAUUCUUCUCUCGGAUCCAUCCUUGGAUACACCAAUUUUAAGCUAAUUAAAGCAAAACUUCAGUUAACCAAGUUUUCAAUCAACGAUCUAGCAACUUUGCUUUACUUGGUUCAUCAUUGUUCUUAAUGUGAAUUUGUUACCAUUUUUCUAAAUUCCAAGCCACCCAUUUUAAUUCAUGGCGUCCAGUUUUGACCGAUGGGAAAAAAUCUAUUAUUUGAAGUUUUUGAAGAAGUUCUGGAUUUUGUUGUUUGUUGAUGAAAGAAUGGGGGAAGAUGGUAAGAGAAGAGAAGAAAGGGGAAGAGAUGAUUUGGUGUGAAAGGUCUAUGUUACAGUUAUAGACCUCAAAUAAAUCCAACCAGCUCAAAAAAAAUUAGGGGGUCAAAAUAGCACAAUUGAGAAACUUUAAGGGUUAAAAGUACAAUUAAGCCUUGAUUAUAAGACGUUUUUGAGUUUUUUCUUUGUUCAAUUUUAUAAAACAUCUUUCAAAUUUUAAAAUGCAUUAAUUAUUUUUUUACAACUAUACAUCUAGUUAAGUUACAUAUUUUUCCUGCAAUGUUGUAAUAAAUACUAUAUGAAAAUAUUAAUUAAUUCUCUCUAAUAAAUUAUAGACUUGUAAAACAAUAAUGAUUGUCAACAAAAUUAAUAAAACAAUCAACUUUCAUAAUUCUCAUAAUUUUUUGUCAAAUCUAUUUUAGUCUUUUAAAUUUAACAGAAGUAUCGGGUUUCUUCAAAAAAAAAAAAUGACAGAAGUAUCGAAUUUGUCCUUUAAGUUUUUUAACUGCCUAAAAUUAACAACUUAAAUAACUUAUUUAAAAUUUAAAAAAAACUUAAAGAUCUAUUUAAAAUUUAAAAAACUUACAGGACCAACUCAGUAUUUUCGUAAAACUUACAAGACUGAAAGAUACAUUUUGCUUUUAUUUUUUGUGAUAAUAGUCACUUUAGUUAUCAAAUAUGUAGAGUUCAUGUAUGCUCAAUUUAGUCAUUUAGUGUCUUAGAUGGAAGACGUGUGGCAAAAAACAAUUUUGAGGGCUGAGAUUUUAAGUUAAUAAAUUAACAUCUUAAUAAUAGAAAAAUAAAAACAAUAUGUUCAUCUUCUCACUUAUAAUCAGGCUUUCUCUCAUAUCGUAGUUCGCUGUAACACCCCAAAUUUCUAUUUAAUUAAUUUUGUGAGGUUAAAUAGGUGGAGUCGUGUUUAUUAUGAUUAUAAUGUUGAUUAGUGACGUACUAUGAGGGCUAAUAGGAUGAAGAGAAGAAUUAAGUAAAUAUGAUACAAAGUUGGAGGUGUAGAAUAUAAGUUUUAAAUAAGUGGGGGAGGGGAGGAGUAAAAGUAUAGUGAAUAAAGGAGAAGAAAGUUAUAACAUGUGAUUGACCCAAGUAUAAAUAUAAACAUUAGGAGUUAGAAGAGUCACUUUUGCUCAAGGUGAAAAAAAGAAAGAAAAGAGGAGCAUAGGAGAAGAAACCCUAGUUGCGACGAGAUCAAGCCAAGCUGGAAAUUUCAGAAGAAAUCGAGGUAAGGGGGGAAUCUCUUCAUCUCUAAGGUUUAAUAUUUUGCUGUAGGGUUGUAAAGGGGUUAGAGUAUGAGUGUUGUUAUGAUGGUGAUGAGGACGUUGUUGAGGUUAAUUAAUUCUUAAGUUAUGAUUGUUGUUAUGAGGAAGAUUUCCAUUGAAAAAUUAUGAUGAAUGAAUGUAGAAUUGUUGUUGAAAGAGUAAUAUCAAGGGAACCUAGUUUAGAGAUUAGAGUUCAGAACUUGACCCUGAAAUAGUGUAAAAUUGGAUACUUUGAUAGAGAAUUAACACUCAAAUAAUAGGGUAAACCUAGAGUGAUGAUUAGGGACAAUUUGGGUGUCAUGGGAUUGAGUUAAGUGAUUCAAAAAUGAUUAAUUGGGGAAAAACGCAUUUCUGAGUGUUUUGAUUCGACAAAAAUUGGGCCCAAUUUUGUAAAUUCGGCCCCUGAUUUUCUCAGCACAACUUAACAAACAAAAACUGUUGUUUUUAAGCAUUUUCCGUUCCGAAGUGGAUUUCGGUCGAAACAUGAAAGUUUUAGGUAUGUGUGUUAGAUUUCCAAUGGCUUUUGUUUCACCUCAACCAGACCUCUACAACUUGAGUUAUGGUCAAAUUACCGUACUUGGGUCAUGCUGCGUUUUUCGUGAAACUUCAGCAUAAUCUUUUCAAUGAGCCUUAAAACAUCCUAGAAAAUAAUAAAGAGUUUAAGAAGAUUGUUAAAGAUAAAUGUAAGGGUAAGGGUCCUAAACUAUAUAACUUAAAGAAGGAGUGGGUUUAAGCGUAAUUAGAAGUGAUUAACUCAGGAUGAUAACAAGCUUAAAUAGGAACCGAGGAUAGUAACCUAUGAGAACCUAAUGGUGUCAAGAUGGCUUGAAAAUUGAAAGUGAAAUAUAAAUAUGGGAGACGCUGUGAGGAAUAUUAAUCGAGAGGUUAAUACUUAAAUUAGAAGGGAUAAUGGGGUAUAUUAAUAGGAUGAAAGACGUAGUAAUGGAGAGAACGAAUGACUAGAGUAGUAAUGAGUAACGAAGGAAUAUGAUGUGUACAUAUGCUCGAAUAAGAUGUUGAUUAAUGGCGAGAAGUUAUUAUCGUGUGAUGAGGAUCUAUGUUGAGAUAAUAAUUGUAGAAUGGUGAUGAUGAAUGAUAUCAUAAUUAAUGAUGUUUUGUGAAUGACGAGUAAUGAUGAUGACGUGUCUUGUUUAGGGUGACGAGUAAAUGAUGAAGUGGGUUAUGUUAUGAGUAAGAGUUAAAGCAUUGGGUAAGUUAGGGGAUGAUAAUAACAUUGAGAAAAGAUAUCAAGUUGAUUAAGGGUAAUAAGACGAGAAAUUACCAUAGCAAAUAGUGUGGGUAUGUGGUGAGUUUAAAAACACGCGAUUUAGUAAAAAGGGUAUAAGACGAUGAUAAUAUGGGAUGUGAAGUAGGUUCUUUUCCGAAUAACUAAUGAGGUGAAAUAUGAUCUCCUUAAACCAAUAAUGAGUCUAAGAAUAUCGUUGAGUGAAAGAGCGAAUGAACCAAGGUAGUUAAAGAACUUAAGAUGAGUGUUAGACAGUAACAUAUAAGGUGUAAAAAUGAAUAAAGACUGAAAACAUAAUAGGAAUGAUGAUAACGAUAAAUAAGAAGAGGAUCGAUUAGAAGGGAGCAAGAUGCAUAGGAAAGAGGAUAAGAGGUAAUAGUUGUAAUGAGUGACGAAUAUAAUAACGAACGGUAUCAAAAGAAUGAAACCUCGAAUUAUAAUGAAGUAUUAGGUUAGAUAAUAACUUUAAAUUUAAAAUGAAGUUAUGAUUAGGGAGACGGACGAUGUAUAGAUGACGACGAACGUGAGAACAAGUAAUAAGAUAUAAAGUCGUUUUAUGGAGGAGAAUAAGUAGGAAAGAGUUGAUAAGAAUUGUGAGGAAAAACCUAGGUAUAUAGAGAGGAGACUUUGUAUGUAAUGAUAGCGAAUAAGAAAAACAACUUGAGACCAGGAAUGAGGAAUAUGGUAUGAUAUCAGGAAUAAAGUUUAUAGAGCCUAGAAUAGAUGAGAGAAUAAUGUAUGUUCCUAAAAUGAAUACUAAAAUAAAAUAUAGGGAAGUUGACGUAGAAUUGAAUUACGCGUAAGGGUUGGAUUAAUGAAGAGAUACAAUGGUGAUAUAAAUUGUUGAUAGAGAUUGUAACAGCCCGAUUUUCGCUAGAUUUAUUUGAAUUAUUUUUAUUAUGUGUUUAUAUGUGCUUGUGCGUGAUCAUUCAUCAUUGGGUACAUUUUCAUGAGUUUUCGUGUUAGAAGGGUAAUUUAGUCAUUUUGGACUCAUGGGUAUUCUGGUCAUUUUGGGUGUAAGAGUAAAUUAGUAAUUUUUGGUGAGAAUUAUUUUUAGUGUUUAGUGAGAACCAUUAUUUUACUAAGUUACUAGAGUAGUAAUUAGUAUUUUACCGUUAAGUGACCGUUAUUAGUAAUUUACCGUUGUGUGUGUGUAGAAACUUUUUAGAUUUGAAUUGGAGUGAGUUAAAUCCAUUAAGCUUUAGGGUUAGGCCCGUUAAGGGGACAUCCUAUAUAAACCUUGUCUUAGAGGAAAUUUCCUCACACUUUCAUUUACAAGAUAUUUUGAGCGAGUUAGAGAGAGAAAGUGGGAGCAAAGAGGAAAAUGGUUAGAGAGAAGGGGAACUUGAAGAUUCAAGGAUUGGAGGGAGCUAGGAGCUAAAUUGAAGCUUAAGCUAGGGAGUUAAUCUAACUAAGGUAAGGGGGUUAGAAUUCAUCAUAAUCAUUUUUAGUGUAAAUUUCAAUUGUUGCAUGAAUAAGUGCUUAAUUGAGUAAUUGAUUAUUUGUUCAUAAUCGUUAGAAUUUGUGCUCCAAUUAUGAUGAUAUGCUUGAAUGCAUGAAUUUGUUGAUGAUUGAAUUGUUGUUAGUGAAACUUCAUGUUCAAAGUAUGAGAAAAUGGUAUAUGUUGAAAUAUGUUCAAUUGGUUGAAUUAUGAUAUGGUGUUGUUGAAUUGUGAUAAGAUUCAUGAUCAAUUGAUGUUGUUGUUGCUAAGUGAUGAUGUUGAUGAUAAUUCAUGGCUUGGGUAUGCAUGAUUCAUGAUUUGCUGUUGAGAAAUGAGAUGUUGUUGGUGGUUUGGUAAAAAUUGGUGAAUUGAUCCAAAUGUCAAUUGUUUUCAUGUUUGUUGAGUCCUUGUGAGUCACUUUAGUCAUAUUGACCUGUAAGCAACAUCUGGAAACACGUUUGGGCAUUAAGGGAUCAAAAUUGGGGAUUUUGGAUAAAAAGGGGUUGAAACCCGUAACACUUUAUGCAGAACUAUGAACGUUCGCUUAAGGGGUCCCUUAAGCGACCGGUAAGCGAGCAUUCAUAUGGCGUUCUGGGUUCAGGUCGCUUAAGUGCCCUGCCAGCGAGCUGGUAAGCGUACUUUUUGAUAGCUUCUGGAACCCGUUCGCUUAAGCGAACCAUGUGGUCGCUUAAGCGAACUGAUGAGCUUCCUGCAAGCGACCGCGACCAGAAAGCGUACACUUGAGGUGGCUACUGGAACUCGUUCGCUUAAGCGAACCAGGUGGUCGCUUAAGCGAGCAAGCCCAAUUUCAGCCACUUUAAUCUUUUGUUCUGGGGCCAAUCCGAGCUUUGUAAAAUGAUUCUUUCAACAUGUUUAACUAAUGUUUAAACCCCUAAACCUACUGGAACAUGAUUAGCUUACCUAAACUUAAAAUUUUCCGUUAGAGUCAUAACUUGAAAGUUUUUGGUAAUUUUAUACUUUUGUCGAAACAAACUUUUGCAAACUAAUGGAGCUUGCAAGUUAAACCUACAGCUCAUAUAGACUUAGGCAAAAAUCUUAAUCAUGUCAAAAGCGAUAUUUCGGAUGGGAAUGUGAAAGAUUAUGAAAUUGGGUUUUCAUACGAAUUUAAGCUAUUCUUUAGACUAAUGUCUAAUAGUCCGUAAGUGGCUUAAGCUCAUGACUACAGUGUUGGAACAAAAUGUGUUUCACAAUGAACCUUAUUGAGUUUUGAUGAUAACAAGGUAUUAAAAAUUGUCAAUUGGUUAUUACUAAUAAUUGUUCAAGUGUACAGGACCAAAGGCUACUCAAGUUAUUUCAAUAGGUCUUGGAAGAACAAUGGAAAGAAAAAAGAAAUUCUGAGCAUCUGAAGAAAACUGCUCCUGAAGCUAAACUGCUCCUGAAGAGAUGACGUCAUCAGAAGCAGAAAGUCAUCAGAAGCAGAAAGUCAUCAGAAGCAAAAGUUUUCAUCAGAAGCAAUAUCUUCACCAGAAGCUACUUUUGAUCCUUUAAUCAAACUGAAGAUUCAAAGUUGCUGAUUCUCAAUUCAGUCUUAUCAAAGAAGAACAAAGAAUUGAAAGGGAGGUAUCAACGGAUAUAUGGAUAGCACUGAGCUCUUGUCUCUCGUUAAUAGAGUUGACAAAGUACAAGUGUACAACCACUACCUCCACUACUCUGUUUUCUGUCUACGCUACAAGACAAAACAACAGCCAUGCCUGCAGAAUUUGUACACUCAAGAUGGGAAUGAAUUUGAAGUUUAUUCUUCAAAGGACUACACCCAAAUCAGGCAAAGGAUCACUGGUGGAUAAUCAAAGGAUUUCAAACGACUCUUUAGACGUGCUGAUUAUCUCAACGUCUCUUUCACACCUCUAUAUAAAGGAAUGAAGACUUGAAGAUUUAAGAUAGAGAUACAUAAGUUCAAAAGCGCCAAAACUCUGUCAAUUUGAUUCUAAAAAGCACACUGAAUUUCUGCACUGAUUUGAUACAUCUUAGAAAUUCAAAGUCUAGAGUCUUUUCUGUAUUGUAUUGUGAACACCACUGAUUGUAUAUCAAGUGUUCAAUUCAAACUCAAUUCUCUGUAUUUUUGUUUGAUUAGAAGUCUCUUGCCUGCGUGCUUGAGCAUUAGAAGUCUCUUGCUUAGUGCUUGAGCAUUGGAAGACUCUUGCGUGUGUGCUUGAGCAUUGUUUUGUGAAGUCUCAUACUUUGAUAGUAUUGAGCAUUUGUAAUCUUUGUGAUUAUAGUGAAAUCUCCUUGGAAGUGCAAGGGGGACUGGACUACUUCCGUGUUGUGGAAGGAACCAGGAUAACUGCUUGUGUCUUUGUCUUUCUUUUCUCUGCUCUGUUCUUUCCGCUGCAUAUCUGAUUCUGAUCAUUUCAUCAGAAGCACUCUCAGUCUGCUUCUGAAGAUUUAUCAGAAGAAGUAUUAAUUAAGAGAAAAAGAAAACACAAUUCAACCCCCCCUUCUUGUGUUUUUCUCACCUUCAAUUGGUAUCAGAGCCUGCUCUGUUAUCACAGCACUUAACCGUGUUACAGUUCAAGAUCUAUUAGAAAAACAUGUCUGGAGAUGAGGAAUCAGUUACUCCAAAAUACACAAGCGUCAAGCAUGACUAUGAUACUGCUGACAAGAAAACAGACUCUGGAAAAGCUCCAAGGUUUAAUGGAGAUCCAGAAGAGUUUUCUUGGUGGAAAACUAAUAUGUACAGCUUUAUCAUGGGAUUAGAUGAAGAGUUAUGGGACAUACUGGAAGAUGGAGUUGAUGAUCUGGAUUUGGAUGAAGAAGGAGCUGCUAUAGAUAGAAAAAUACAUACUCCUGCUCAGAAGAAGCUUUACAAGAAGCACCACAAAAUCAGAGGGAUUAUUGUGGCUUCUAUACCUCGCACCGAAUACAUGAAAAUGAGUGACAAAUCUACUGCGAAGGCUAUGUUUGCUUCUCUAUGUGCAAACUUUGAAGGCAGCAAGAAAGUAAAAGAGGCUAAAGCUUUGAUGCUAGUUCAUCAGUAUGAACUUUUCAGAAUGAAAGAUGAUGAGAGUAUAGAAGAAAUGUACUCAAGAUUUCAAACUUUAGUUUCUGGAUUGCAAAUACUGAAGAAAAGCUAUGUUGCUUCUGAUCAUGUUAGUAAGAUUUUGAGAAGCUUACCUUCAAGAUGGAGACCCAAAGUAACUGCUAUUGAGGAAGCUAAGGAUCUAAAUACUUUAAGUGUUGAAGAUCUUGUUAGCUCACUCAAAGUGCAUGAAAUGAGUUUAAAUGAGCAUGAAACCUCUAAGAAGAGUAAAUCCAUUGCUUUACCAUCUAAAGGAAAGAUCUCAAAAUCUUCCAAAGCCUACAAAGCCAGUGAAUCUGAAGAAGAAUCACCUGAUGGAGAUUCUGAUGAAGAUCAAUCUGUAAAAAUUGCUAUGCUGUCCAACAAGCUUGAGUAUCUGGCAAGGAAGCAAAAGAAAUUUUUGAGCAAGAGAGGUAGCUACAAGAACUCCAAGAAAGAAGAUCAGAAGGGAUGCUUCAAUUGUAAGAAGCCUGGUCAUUUCAUUGCUGAUUGCCCUGAUCUUCAGAAGGAGAAGUUUAAAGGCAAAUCCAAGAAAUCAAGCUUCAAUUCCAGUAAAUUCAGAAAGCAAAUCAAAAAGAGCUUGAUGGCGACCUGGGAAGAUUUGGAUAGUGAAUCUGGUUCUGAUAAAGAAGAAGCUGAUGAUGAUGCUAAGGCAGCCGUUGGGUUAGUGGCAACAGUAUCAUCAGAAGCAGUAUCAGAAGCUGAAUCAGAUUCAGAAGAUGAAAAUGAGGUAUAUUCCAAAAUCCCUAGACAAGAACUUGUUGAUUCUCUAAAAGAACUUUUAUCACUGUUUGAACACAGAACCAAUGAGUUGACAGAUUUAAAAGAAAAAUAUGUUGAUUUGAUGAAACAACAAAAAUCAACUCUAUUGGAACUGAAAGCUUCUGAAGAAGAACUCAAAGGGUUUAACCUCAUAUCAACAACAUAUGAAGAUAGACUCAAGAGUCUUUGUCAGAAGCUACAAGAAAAAUGUGAUAAAGGUUCAGGCAAUAAACAUGAGAUUGCCUUGGAUGAUUUUAUUAUGGCUGGAAUAGACAGAAGCAAAGUUGCUUCUAUGAUCUACAGCACAUACAAGAACAAAGGCAAAGGGAUUGGAUAUUCUGAGGAGAAAUCCAAAGAAUACAGUCUCAAGAGCUACUGUGAUUGUAUCAAGGAUGGAUUGAAAUCCACCUUUGUGCCUGAAGGUACAAAUGCUAUAACUGCUGUUCAGUCAAAACCUGAAGCUUCAGGUUCACAGGCUAAGAUCACAUCAAAGCCAGAGAAUCUUAAGAUCAAGGUAAUGACAAAAUCUGAUCCUAAGAGUCAAAAGAUUAAAAUUCUGAAAAGAUCAGAACCUGUUCAUCAGAAUCUGAUUAAACCAGAAUCUAAAAUUCCAAAACAAAAGGAUCAGAAGAACAAAGCAGCUACUGCUUCUGAGAAAACAAUACCAAAAGGUGUCAAACCUAAAGUAUUGAAUGAUCAGAAGCCACUCAGCAUUCACCCUAAGGUACAAGGGAGGAAAAGUAAAACCUCCAAAACUAACCCAAAAGGACCCAUGAAGAUAUGGGUACCUAAAUCUGAAUUGGCCAAAAAUGCAGGUGUGCUUAAGGGCAAGAGAGAAACAAAGGUCAUGGUACCUAGACAACGGAUGUUCAAGGCACAUGACUGGAGAGAAAGCUUUGUUCCUUACCCUUACAAUGAAAGAUGGAGGAGAAGUGAAGUUUGGUGGCAACCAAACUGGAAAGAUCAUUGGUACAGGUACUAUUGGUAAUUCCUCCAUCUCAAUUAAUAAUGUGUGGCUAGUAGAUGGUCUGAAGCAUAACCUAUUGAGCAUUAGUCAAUUUUGUGACAAUGGGUAUGAUGUAACGUUCAGUAAGACCAACUGCACACUAGUCAACAAGGAUGACAAAUCCAUUACAUUCAAGGGAAAGAGAGUUGAGAAUGUCUAUAAAAUAAAUUUCUCUGAUCUGGCUGAUCAGAAGGUAGUUUGCCUUCUGUCAAUGAAUGAUAAAAAAUGGGUAUGUGUUAUACCCUGUUUUUGGACCUAAAAAUACUGGGCCCAAUUUCAUUUCAAACUUUGUCAACUAUCAAAUUUCAAUUGCACAGUUCAAAUUGUCUCUGCCUCGCAGUAUUUUCAAUCACAAUUUUACCUAUGUUUUUCUUGCAUAAAACCUUUCAAAAUGUCUUUACUUGUCUUGUAAGUCAUUCGAAAGUGUCUCUGAAUCAUUGCGUUGCUUUUUCUACGGUUUAUUUCAAAAUUUGCAAAAAGUCAUACAGAAGGGUAUUUUGGUCAUUUCCUGCAGUGGGACCCAUUUUCAUCCUUGUGACUGUCUCUGAGUUUUUUCAGAUUAUUUUUUUAGCAUUUCAUCAGUAAACCUUGCUAAUUUCAUUUCAAACUUGCGUCUGAGUCAGUGGCAAGUCUGUUUGAGUCAGUUUAGGUCAUUUUUAGCCCUAGGGGCAUUUUGGUCAUUUCACACGAAAUUUUGGCAUGGGGAGGUUACUUUGAAGUACCUCAUUUAGGCCAUUGGUUCAUUUUAGUCCGUUUUGUCAAUUUUAUUUUUGUUUCGCUUUACGUUUGAUCAAAAUGCACUUUUUUAUUCAAUUGCAUUUUGGUCCCUCAAUUGAGGUCCCAAAAUUACAUUUCAGUCCAAAAGUUUCUAAAAAUUGCAUUUCAGUCCUUUUAUUAUCAUUUUUUCUGCAGAAACGCCCCAAAGGGCAUUUUGGUCCAAAUUUUCGCACAAAUUUUAGUCCAGUCCAGGUGUCUUUUUUUCAUUGGUUCAGGUACACAUGGCAGCAUAUAAAAGGGAAACAGUGUCAGAUUUUUUUGAAGGAUUCCAUUCACACAGUGACACAUCACAAACAGAUCAAAACUUUCUCUCUCCAUUCUGUUAGAUCAAAGAAAACAGAAUCACCAAGAACACAGAAAUUCAUCAAACCCUAACACACAAAUUCAUAACAAAAUCAUCAAAAUCCAUUGAAAUUUCUGCAAAUCUCAGGAGAUUCGUCAGAGAAUCAUCAUCAUCGAUUUGUUCCUUUCGCAAUACGAGUGCGAAUCCGUCACCGGACUCAAGCACGAUCACGAAAGGCGUGCGAAUCCGAGAAGAAGAAGGGAAAAACAGAAUCUGUACAGAAGCACGCAAGCAACGCGCACGCAAGCAAGCAGCGCGCACGCAAGCAAGCAAGCACGCAAGCAACGCGCACGCAAGCAAGCAGCGCGCACGCAAGCAAGCAACAAGCAAGCAAGGACGCGAGCAAACACGCGGAGCAACAAGAUCGUGAGGUAACCGCCGUCGUUCUUCCUCUUUUCCCUUCCGUUUUCUUAAGUUUUUUCAUCAAGGUUCAAGUUUAGAUCUACUCCGAUUCAAAGCUCUUUUGAAAAAUCUAAGCUCGGAUUCGAGUAAUACAUAAAAAAGGAUGUUUAAAAACGUAAAAAAAAUUUGAAUCGGAGCAGUUUCGAACUCCGGCGCGGAGGCGCCACCGCCGUCCGCCGCGCCGGAAAAGCCAUGCCAACCGGAGAAGAUGACCGGAAAGUUAGAGAGAAGUUGGAGCUUCUCUCUCUAAAAAGAGAGAAGAAAGAGAAAGAGGAGUAUCAAAAUGAAAAAAACCGGAUUUCACCUCUAUAUAUAGAGACUUGAACCGGUCCGGUUUAUUUUCGGUUUUACUCUCUCAUUCUCAGCCUUCAGAUCAAUCUAACGCUCCCUGUUGCUCCGGAUUUUUUGGCAUGGUUUGGGCCUUUCACUUUCGUUUUUGCUUUCUUUUUUUUGUUAUUUGCACCACUUUUCUUUGCUGUUUGAACCCCUGCAUGCUUAAAAUUUUCCCUAAAAAACCUCCAAAAAUUAUCACAUGUUUCUUGAUAUUUUCUCAGUGUUUUUAUGACAUUUUUGCACAUUAAGGAUCUAUGAAAUUUUGGUAUAAUUAAUUCAUAGCAUUUUAAUUCUCUUUGAAUUAUUUGUUAUGGAUUCUUCUUCACACAUUUGUCCUUGAUGUGAGAAUAUGUAAUAAAAGCUACUUGAUGUGUUAAUAUGAGAGAUUUGUGCCUAUAAUUUCAUGUUGAUUUGCUGUUUUGAUUUGGUUCAUAAGUUCUUGAUUUUAUGAACAAUAUAUGCAUAUUUUGAAAGAUAUAAAAUGCCAAGUUUAUUCUAGAAAAUAUGGCAUGAAACCAUGCUUGCAUGUUUCCAAUAAUUCCAUGCUAUAACUUGAGAUAAAGAAAACUCUUUCAAAAUUUGUUAAAGCAUGAGAAUUAGAGGCCAAGAAUGCUUUAGGUUUCAUACCUAAAUUUUUAGGGUUUAAUGUCAUUUUGUUAACUUUUUGUGCCAUCUUGCAUGCUUUUAUUUCUUAGUACUUGUUAUGUUUUUUUCUUUUCACUAACAAGUUUAUUUCCAUGUUUCAUGCAUCUCAUUUAGCAUUCCCUCCACCUUCUUUAGCCUAGCAUUUAUUUUUGCAAGUUUUAAUUCCUUUAGAGAUGUAAUUUGUCAUCAUUAUUUUGUAGCUUGGCAAAGGGGCCAUAGAAUGUAUUUAGGCAAUUUUUGUAAUAUGGACUAUGGACACUAUGACGCACCGACACGCACACACUCACCUUAGAUGUAUGCAUAGGAUUGUAUGGUUAAAUAAGCGUUUAGGUUUUAAACACUUAGAGAAAAUCCAUCUUUUCCAAAAAAAACAAUUGAACUUCACUUCAAAAAUUUUCAUAAUAAAUAUGAAGUCAACACUUCAUUUUUUCCUUUCUUUUUUCUUAAGAAAAAUUCAAUUCAUCUUAAUCAUUUAGACUUUCUUUCUAAUCACUAAUCAAACCUCACUUUUUUUGCUAAAUCUAAUGCUCAUGAAGCCUCCCAAUCUCCUUCUUCAAAACCUUUUUUUUCAAAACUUAAAAUCAAACAAUUAAAACAAAAAAAAACAAGUUUCUUUAGCAAGAACUACGAACGGUUUUGAUCCCGUAAAACGGUACGUAGGCAAUGAGUCAAAACUCAUCCAAGCCGAAAUAAAAUCAAAUUCUACUUCUUCUCACCCCCAUUCUUCACUAAUCAUACCUUCUUUUUACAAAUAAGCAAUAAAACUAAAGCGUAGAAAUAAACUUAGGAGAACGGCUCUUAUGGAAUACCAUAAUCGCUCCGGGUGCCUAACACCUUCCCGUAGUGAAAACGACCCCCGAAUCCGGAAACUCAAGGGUUUUUCUCCUUUUACCCUUCCCAAGAAAAAAGAGAGGUAUCAACGGUCGAAAGGUACAAGUCCAAUUAAUGGCUUGGCACCCAAAAACCAUGAUAACAGAAAUGGCAACUUCACUGGGGAAUUCUUUUUAGCGGGUCGCGCCUAGUUUUCCUUAGUUUAUAUUUACGCUUUGUUUUAUUGCUUACAUAUGUGAAUACUUCUUUAUUUUCAUUUGACGUGUGGGGUGAGAAUAUCAAAAGUCCUAUACCCGGGCUGAGUGAACUUAUGUUUAGGUAGAGAUAUAAUCGACAAUUCGAUCCGGGGGUUGCCUCGUGUAUUGGAUUAUGCGAUCAAUCUCACAUAGCUGAGGCAUUUUGAAGGUGAUAUUGUCGGCGUGUGUUGUCAUGCUUAGGCACUUCACUUUCAAUUGUUCGACGAAGCUAUGAACCGUAGUUACCAAACCCAUUCUAGCCUCUUUAGGACGUAGUGCGGUGGCUAAAUUGAGUGUUGUCUCAAACUUUAGUCAUCACGCGAUACUACACUCAAACUAGACCUUCUCACAAAUAAUCAUGGAACGGGUGUCGUCCUGUACUACCAUGAUAUAUGUGAGAGAGGUUGCAGUUUGGGAACUGUGUUAGAACCUUGGUUACUACUAUCCAAAGCCUUAGUUCACCGGACGCCGUGUCCAUCCGUGGCCCUGUUACUUUGAAUCUCAACCCACCUUGUUCUUUGUAACUAAACAAAACAACCAUGCAUACAUGCAUUCAUGCAUAAGUUUUUUUUCACGCAUACAUCGAAGAUUUUUUUAGACAGAUCGAAACAUUGUAAGACACCGCAGGUGUGAACUUGUAUUCAUAAGUUUACCAUUGUAAAACCUUAUUUUGCUUGUUUAACAGUGUUUACAAUGUUUCGAAUUUGUUUAAAAAGUCCUUCGAUGACAUUAAAAAGAGUCGUUUUUGCAUUUGCAUCUGCAUAUCAUGCAUCAUAUGCAUCAUACAUUGGUCACAAAGGGUUCCAAGUGCUCACUAUCUCCUGGUUCCUCUGCCGCAGUGUGAAAAGUGGCUCGUGCUCAGAGAGUUUACGAACCAGAUAGAAUUGAUCGAACCAGAGAAUACAGAAGAAAGAAAAGGGCUAUGGAAGAAGAGAACGCUCAGCUUCGCACCGAGUUAGCCUCUCUAAAGGAGGAAUUGGCUAAAGCUAAUGACGUCAUGACUGCUCUACUAGCUGCUCAAGAGCAAUCAGCUACAGCUAUCCCUACAACCACAGCUGCACCAGUAACUACAAGCGUGCUCCCUACCACUUCUGCAGACAAUCGCUUUACUAUGCCAGUGGGGUUUCCGUAUGGGCUUCCACCGUUCUUCACUCCCGUUGCUACAGCAAGCACCUCGGGCACUGCUAACAAUGUUCUGAUCCCUGCAACAAAUGCCGCCUCCAUCAUUGCUACUUUGCCACAAACAACAGUAGCUGUCACUGAGCCUCUGGUACACACUCUGCCUCAAGGUAUUAACAUCAACACACAGCACAGAAGCAUCCCCGUAACCAAGACUAUGGAAGAGAUGAUGGAGGAACUUGCUAAAGAACUCCGUCACGAGAUCCAGGCCAAUCGAGGGAAUGCAGACUCUGUCAAAACUCAAGACCUUUGCUUAGUGUCAAAAGUGGAUGUUCCUAAAAAGUUCAAGAUUCCGGACUUCGACCGGUACAACGGGCUAACUUGUCCUCAAAAUCACAUCAUCAAAUACGUCCGGAAGAUGGGCAAUUACAAAGACAAUGAUUCCCUUAUGAUCCACUGUUUUCAGGAUAGUCUGAUGGAGGAUGCCGCAGAGUGGUAUACUAGUUUGAGUAAGAAUGACAUCCAUACCUUUGAUGAGUUAGCCACCGCUUUCAAGAGCCAUUAUGGGUUUAACACUCGACUGAGGCCAAAUAGGGAGUUUCUCAGGUCCCUAUCUCAGAAGAAGGAGGAAAGUUUCCGUGAAUAUGCGCAAAGGUGGAGAGGGGCGGCUGCCCGUAUCACUCCUGCUUUAGAUGAAGAAGAAAUGACCCAGACGUUCUUAAAGACGUUGAAGAAAGAUUAUGUUGAGAGGAUGAUCAUCGCUGCCCCGAACAACUUUUCGGAGAUGGUCACUAUGGGAACCCGUCUUGAGGAAGCCGUCAGGGAUGGAAUCAUUGUGUUUGAGAAAGCUGAAUCUUCUGCAAGUGCGUCGAAGAGGUAUGGUAAUGGACACCACAAGAAGAAAGAAACGGAAGUGGGGAUGGUGUCAGCUGGAGCCGGUCAAUCAAUGGCUACUGUUGCUCCUAUCAAUGCAGCUCAAAUGCCUCCGUCAUACCCAUAUAUGCCGUAUUCUCAGCAUCCGUUCUUCCCACCGUUUUAUCAUCAGUACCCUUUGCCACCCGGCCAGCCUCAAGUGCCCGUCAAUGCAAUUGCCCAACAGAUAAAACAACAGAUGCCGGUUCAACAACAACAACAAAAUCAGCAAGCUAGGCCUACUUUCCCUUCGAUACCAAUGUUGUAUGCAGAACUUCUUCCAACUCUACUCCAGAGAGGGCAUUGUACGACUAGGCAGGGUAAGCCCCCACCUGACCCGUUGCCUCCAAGGUUCAGGUCUGAUCUCAAAUGUGAUUUUCAUCAAGGUGCCUUAGGUCAUGAUGUCGAGGGGUGUUAUGCUUUGAAGUAUAUUGUGAAGAAGCUCAUUGAUCAAGGGAAGCUGACUUUUGAGAAUAAUGUUCCACAUGUCCUUGACAAUCCUCUUCCAAAUCAUGCCGCUGUGAAUAUGAUCGAAGUGUGUGAGGAAGCUCCUAGACUUGAUGUCCGCAAUGUCGCAACUCCUCUGGUGCCUCUACAUAUCAAGUUGUGCAAAGCUUCUCUGUUCAGCCAUGAUCAUGCCAAGUGUCUAGGAUGCCUCUGUGAUCCUUUGGGUUGUUAUACUGUUCAAGAGGACAUCCAAAGCUUGAUGAAUGAUAAUUUUCUGACUGUCAGUGAUGUCUGCGUGAUCGUGCCAGUUUUUCACGAUCCGCCUGUCAAGAGUGUACCUUUGAAGAAGAAUGCUGAGCCUCUGGUGAUAAGGUUGCCAGGACCAAUUCCUUAUGUUUCGGACAAAGCAGUGCCAUACAAGUACAAUGCUACUAUGAUAGAAAAUGGAGUAGAGGUGCCUCUAGCCUCCUUUGCCACAGUAAGCAAUAUUGCCGAAGGGACUUCUGCAGCGCUAAGAAGCGGGAAGGUCCGUCCGCCGUUAUUUCAGAAGAAAGUAGCUACGCCGACCAUUCCACCAGUUGAAGAAGCAACUCCAACCGUUGUUUCACCCAUUGCUACAGAUGUGAACCAGUCAGGCAAAUCUAUAGAGGAUUCGAAUUUAGAUGAGAUUCUGAGAAUAAUAAAGAGGAGCGACUACAAGAUCGUUGAUCAGUUGCUGCAGACUCCUUCGAAGAUAUCUGUCUUGUCAUUACUCUUGAGCUCUGAGGCUCACAGGAAUACCUUGUUGAAAGUGCUGGAGCAGGCUUAUGUUGACCACGAAGUUACGGUAGAUCGUUUCGGUGGCAUAGUGGGAAAUAUUACUGCUUGUAACAAUCUCUGGUUUAGUGAAGAAGAGUUGCCGGAAGCGGGAAAGAGUCACAAUCUGGCUUUGCACAUCUCGGUAAAUUGUAAAUCAGACAUGAUAUCAAAUGUGUUGGUGGAUACCGGUUCCUCUCUCAAUGUAAUGCCCAAGACAACUCUAGAUCAGUUGAGCUACCGUGGGACCCCGUUGAGGAGAAGUACUUUCUUGGUCAAAGCUUUUGAUGGAUCUCGAAAGAAUGUGCUGGGGGAGAUAGACUUGCCGAUAACCAUUGGCCCUGAGAAUUUCCUGAUUACCUUCCAAGUGAUGGACAUUAAUGCAUCCUACAGUUGCCUGCUGGGAAGACCGUGGAUACACGAUGCAGGUGCAGUUACUUCCACUUUACAUCAGAAGUUGAAAUUUGUGAAGAAUGGAAAACUCGUUACAAUCCAUGGUGAAGAAGCAUACUUAGUCAGCCAGUUGUCUUCUUUCUCUUGUAUUGAAGCAGGGUCUGCUGAAGGGACUGCUUUCCAAGGUUUGACCAUUGAAGGUGCAGAGUCUAAGGAAGCUGGGGCUGCUAUGGCUUCAUUGAAGGAUGCUCAGAGAGCCAUCCAAGAAGGUCAGACUGCCGGCUGGGGCAAGAUGAUACAGCUCUGUGAGAACAAGCGUAAAGAAGGUCUCGGGUUCUCCCCGUCAUCAAGGGUUUCCUCAGGGGUCUUCCACAGUGCUGGGUUUGUUAAUGCUAUCUCUGAAGAAGCCACUGGAUCUGGUCUCAGACCUGCAUUUGUUACACCAGGAGGCAUUACGACAAAUUGGGAUGCCAUUGACAUUCCAUCAAUCAUGCAUGUUUCUGAGUAAUGUGUCUUGUUGCUUUGAUGCUUUGUUUUCAAAAUAACAAUCCUCUCGCUCUGCCCAAAGCGAGAGUGAUAUUUUCUGUAAGGGCAUGUUUGUUUCGGCAUUGCCGUUGGUUAAUAAAAUUUUGUCGUUUCUUCCACGACUACUUUUUUUAGUGCUUUUUCCCUUGGAAACAAUGGUAAUGCCAGAAAAAACCAAAACAUUUGUAUUUUCUUAUUAAUUUCAAAAAUCUGCAUGAAAAAAAAAAAAAAACUCUUUCUAAAAUCAUCCAAUCAUUAUAUGCAGGUUGAACCAUAAUAAACCCGUUGAACACAGUAAUCCUACGGUUCCUCCAAAUUUUGAUUUCCCUGUGUAUGAAGCCGAAGAUGAGGAAGGUGAUGACAUACCGUAUGAGAUUACUCGGUUACUUGAGCAAGAAAAGAAAGCCAUUCAGCCUCACCAGGAAGAGAUUGAGCUUAUCAACAUAGGUACCGAGGAAAACAAGCGAGAAAUCAAGAUUGGUGCUACUCUAGAGGAAGGGGUUAAACAGAAGAUCAUCCAACUCCUCCGGGAAUAUCCGGAUAUUUUUGCAUGGUCCUAUGAAGAUAUGCCAGGUCUAGACCCUAUGAUCGUGGAGCAUCGGAUCCCUACCAAGCCUGAAUGUCCUCCCGUCAGGCAGAAAUUGAGAAGGACUCAUCCUGAUAUGGCUCUCAAGAUCAAGAAUGAAGUUCAAAAGCAGAUUGAUGCGGGUUUCCUCAUGACAGUUGAGUAUCCCGAAUGGGUUGCCAAUAUUGUGCCUGUGCCAAAGAAGGAUGGUAAAGUUCGGAUGUGUGUUGACUUCAGAGACCUGAACAAAGCCAGCCCAAAAGACAACUUUCCAUUACCUCAUAUUGAUGUGCUUGUUGAUAAUACUGCUCAAUCUAAGGUGUUCUCCUUCAUGGACGGUUUUUCUGGUUAUAAUCAGAUCAAAAUGUCUCCUGAAGAUAGAGAAAAGACAUCUUUUAUCACUCCAUGGGGUACUUUCUGCUACAAAGUGAUGCCAUUCGGUCUAAUUAAUGCUGGUGCUACCUACCAAAGGGGAAUGACUACUUUGUUUCAUGACAUGAUUCACAAAGAAGUUGAGGUAUAUGUGGAUGACAUGAUUGUGAAGUCAGCAGAUGAGGAGCAGCAUGUUGAAUAUUUAACAAAGAUGUUUGAAAGGUUAAGAAAAUACAAGCUGCGAUUGAAUCCCAACAAAUGUACAUUCGGUGUCAGGUCCGGAAAGUUAUUAGGCUUCAUUGUCAGCCAAAAGGGCAUUGAAGUCGAUCCUGAUAAAGUCCGGGCCAUCCGAGAAAUGCCAGCUCCACAGACAGAGAAGCAAGUCAGAGGCUUCCUCGGACGUUUGAAUUACAUCUCUCGAUUCAUAUCUCACAUGACCGCAACUUGCGGGCCAAUCUUCAAGCUACUCAGAAAGAAUCAGCCUGUUGUAUGGAAUGAUGAAUGCCAGGAAGCUUUUGAUAGCAUCAAGAAUUACCUGCUGGAACCACCUAUCCUUGUCCCACCCGUGGAAGGAAGGCCGUUGAUCAUGUAUUUGGCAGUAUUUGAUGAAUCCAUGGGAUGCGUGCUUGGUCAACAAGAUGAGACUGGAAAGAAAGAGCAUGCUAUCUACUAUCUAAGCAAGAAGUUCACCGAUUGUGAAACUCGGUAUACAAUGCUUGAGAAGACUUGUUGUGCUUUAGCUUGGGCUGCCAAACGCCUGCGUCAUUACUUGGUGAACCAUACAACUUGGUUGAUAUCCAGAAUGGAUCCGAUAAAGUACAUCUUUGAGAAAGCUGCUGUUACUGGAAAGAUUGCACGCUGGCAGAUGCUUUUGUCUGAAUAUGAUACUGUGUUCAAAACUCAAAAGGCAAUCAAAGGUAGCAUUCUUGCCGAUCAUCUUGCUUACCAACCUCUUGACGAUUACCAACCAAUGGAAUUCGACUUCCCUGAUGAAGAGAUCAUGUAUUUGAAAUCCAAAGACUGCGAAGAACCGUUGAUUAAUGAAGGUCCAGAUCCCAAUAGCAAGUGGGGUUUAGUCUUUGAUGGUGCUGUCAAUGCUUAUGGUAAGGGAAUUGGGGCAGUCAUUGUAUCCCCGCAGGGGCAUCACAUUCCUUUUACCGCCAGAAUCUUGUUCGAAUGUACCAACAAUAUGGCUGAGUAUGAAGCAUGUAUCUUUGGGAUCGAGGAAGCAAUUGACAUGAGAAUCAAACACCUCGACAUCUAUGGAGAUUCUGCGCUCGUCAUCAAUCAGAUAAAGGGUGAAUGGGAGACCCACCAUGCUAAUUUGAUUCCUUAUCGUGAUUAUGCGAGACGUUUGCUGACAUAUUUUACAAAGGUUGAGCUGCACCAUAUUCCUCGUGAUGAGAACCAAAUGGCUGAUGCUCUUGCUACUCUAUCCUCCAUGUUUCGAGUAAACCAUUGGAAUGAUGUGCCAAUAAUUAAAGUGCAACGCCUUGAAAGACCUUCGCAUGUGUUUGCUAUUGGGGAUGUAAUCGAUCAGGCUGGUGAAAAUGUGGUUGACUAUAAACCCUGGUACUACGACAUCAAACAGUUCUUGCUAAGCCGUGAGUAUCCGCCGGGUGCUUCCAAACAAGACAAGAAGACCUUGAGAAGAUUGGCCAGUAGAUUCCUGUUAGAUGGAGAUAUUCUGUACAAGAGAAACUAUGACAUGGUAUUGUUAAGAUGUGUUGAUGAACAUGAAGCAGAGCAGUUAAUGCAGGAUGUACAUGAUGGUACCUUCGGGACCCAUGCUACAGGGCAUACUAUGUCAAGAAAGUUGCUACGGGCAGGUUACUACUGGAUGGCCAUGGAGCAUGAUUGCUACCAGUACGCCAGAAAAUGUCACAAAUGUCAAAUAUAUGCUGAUAAGAUUCAUGUGCCUCCGCACGCCCUCAAUGUUAUGUCAUCCCCAUGGCCGUUCUCAAUAUGGGGCAUCGACAUGAUUGGAAGAAUUGAACCGAAGGCUUCAAAUGGUCAUCGUUUCAUCUUAGUGGCAAUUGACUACUUUACCAAAUGGGUUGAAGCAGCAUCUUAUACCAAUGUGACCAAGCAAGUGGUAGCUAAGUUCAUCAAGAACAACAUCAUCUGUCGAUAUGGUGUUCCCAGCAAGAUUAUUACCGACAAUGGUACCAACCUGAACAACAAUGUGGUGCAAGCUCUUUGUGAAGAAUUCAAAAUUGAGCAUCAUAACUCUUCUCCUUAUAGACCUCAGAUGAAUGGUGCAGUUGAGGCCGCCAACAAGAAUAUCAAAAGAAUUGUCCAGAAGAUGGUAACCACUUACAAGGACUGGCAUGAGAUGUUACCCUAUGCUCUGCAUGGCUACCGUACUACUGUGCGCAGUUCAACAGGGGCAACCCCUUUCUCUCUUGUAUAUGGUAUGGAAGCAGUUCUUCCUUUGGAAGUGGAGAUCCCGUCUCUCCGUGUGAUCAUGGAAGCAAAGUUAUCAGAGGCUGAAUGGUGCCAAAGCCGGUAUGAUCAGUUGAAUUUGAUUGAGGAAAAACGUAUGGAUGCCAUGGCUCGCGGACAGUCAUAUCAAGCAAGAAUGAAGACUGCUUUUGACAAGAAAGUACAUCCUCGAGAAUUCAAGGUAGGAGAACUUGUAUUGAAAAGGAGGAUAAGCCAGCAACCCGACCCAAGGGGCAAGUGGACGCCUAACUAUGAAGGUCCUUAUGUUGUCAAGAAGGUCUUCUCCGGUGGUGCUUUAAUCCUUACACACAUGGAUGGUGUAGAACUUCCAAAUCCAGUGAAUGCCGAUAUAGUCAAGAAAUACUUUGCCUAGAAAUGUGAAAAGAACAGCGUGGUAGGUCGAAAACCCGAAAGGGCGGCCUAGGCAAAAAUGCGCUUCCCGGUGGAUCGAAAACCCGAAAGGGCGGUCCAGGCAAAAAUAAGGGACAAAAAAAAAACAAAUAUGAAAAGCUCGCUGAGAUUGUACACAACUCAGGCAAGAAUGAGCGUCUCGAUGAGCCGAAAACCCGGAAGGGCGGUUCAUGCAAAAAUGAGAUUGAAACAAAAGGCAAGUAACUAUAUCUGGCCAACCACCGUCCCCCUUGGGGCAUCUGCAGCUGUCAAUGCCUAUCUUCAUCAAAAGCUUCUGUACUUGUGAAUUCAAAGUUUCUAAGAACUGUCAUGAUUACUGUGUUCAAUGUACCACCAACCAAUAAAAUUACCAUUUUCCAAGCUUUGUAAAUCCGUGGAGUCACGCCUUCGGCUGACCACCACUCUUACACAUCAAUUUGAGCCUUUGCUUUUGUUUGAAAACUCUAUUUUUUCUUCUACUUUCAAAGCUAUAUACAAAACAUUUUCUUUCUAUUUUGAUAAUGACAAUGCUUGAAACAAACAUUUUGAAAAUUGAAAACUUUUUUGUCUAUUUUGAAAAGCAAACCUGAGCAACAGGGUACAUUCAAACGAAACAUGCAUAAGCGAGAGUAUGUCGAUGUCUAUUUCAAUAUAUGUUACAAGCAGGUUCACCUCCAAGAUAAUCUGUGGUCAAUGGCAAGAAUGAAAAAACAGAAUGAAAAUGCAUGAAAUUGAAUGAGCUCGCUAAGUUGAAAACCCGGAAGGGCGGCUUAGGCAAAAAUGAGCACCCCGCUGGAUUGACAACCCGAAAGGGCAGUUCAGGCAAAAAUGGGGCAUUGAAAAGAAUCUAUUUCCCCGGUGGAUCGAAAACCCGAAAGGGCGAUCCAGGCAAAAAUGGGAUGCAAAAAAUGAAUGAAUGAAAUUAAGAAUAUAACAUGCAAAAAGCAUUGACCACAGAUGCAAUGUCUACAACGUACCCAGUACUGAAAUGCCCAGCACAACGGCGUUUUCCCCAGUAAAGUCUUCCAAGAUUCUAUCUCCAGCAAGUUGCAUAGCUACCUGCCCUCAGCCAUGGUUCCGAUACGUCUCCCAACGACGUCAUCUUCAAAGAGGAUUUCCAAGAAUGUGUAAUAUAGCACGAGCCACUACGUGCCCAAUACUCUGAUGUCUUGUCUUCCCCGUGAAGUCGUGCCUACAAACUGCCAACAGUCAUGCAUUACAAGCAUUCAUACAUGCAUAAUCAUGCAUAUUACGUGCCCAUGCAUUUAAUGAAACUGUUAUAUCAUCCAUACAUAUUGCAUUUCCAAUGACAACAUCAGUCUCAAUUCAAUACUCAUGUCAGGUUCUCUGUCAAAACCUUGUGAGCCAAUAAUAUCGGUCAAUUUCUGCCUUUCAAAUCAAAUCGAUGUCAAGUCAAUCUCAAUCUAUAUUUUGUCAAACAAACCAAUCCCCAGUGAAUAUGUUUCUGUUUGGUCAAGUGGCUAGUUCAAGUCCAAGAACAGCUUGCGCCUGUCUAUUUUGUAUUUGUCUCCGGUGGAGUAACCAGUUCGCAUCCAAGAGCAAGCUCGCACCUGUCUAUUUGCCUUGCUUUCAGUCGAGUAACCAGUUCGAAUCCUUAAGAACAACUCGUAUUUGUCAAUUUCCCCAGUCGGGUCACCAGUUCGAAUCCAUAAGAACAACUCGCACUUUCCAAUAUCCCCAAGUGAGUCAUCAGUGCGAAUCCAUAAGAACAACUCAUGUUUGUCCAGUAACCUCUAUCCCCUGUGAAGUGACCAGUUCGAAUCCAUAAGAACAACUCGCAGUUGUCUGUUUGUUUCAUCCCCGGUCAAGUGGCUAGUUUGAAUCCAAGAACAGCUUGUACCUGUCCAACUUGUUUCCAGUUUCCCGUUACUCUGCUAUUUACUAUCUUUGUCAAUGUCUACCAAUCCCGCAAUGGAUACGACAUAUUUUGUUAAUUCCAAUCCCCAUGAGGUCUUGCAUUCAUAAUCCAAAUGAUGCAUGGCAUGCAUAUUAUUUGAAAAUGGGUAGGCGUAUUUUUACGUCCAAACACAGUGCAAAUGCUAAUAUUUAAGUAUCUUCGUCCUGUCAAGCCAAAGACUCCGUCUCUUGACUCUCCAGACAAAGAAACUUAAAUAGGGGCAGCUGUUAUACCCUGUUUUUGGACCUAAAAAUACUGGGCCCAAUUUCAUUUCAAACUUUGUCAACUAUCAAAUUUCAAUUGCACAGUUCAAAUUGUCUCUGCCUCGCAGUAUUUUCAAUCACAAUUUUACCUAUGUUUUUCUUGCAUAAAACCUUUCAAAAUGUCUUUACUUGUCUUGUAAGUCAUUCGAAAGUGUCUCUGAAUCAUUGCGUUGCUUUUUCUACGGUUUAUUUCAAAAUUUGCAAAAAGUCAUACAGAAGGGUAUUUUGGUCAUUUCCUGCAGUGGGACCCAUUUUCAUCCUUGUGACUGUCUCUGAGUUUUUUCAGAUUAUUUUUUUAGCAUUUCAUCAGUAAACCUUGCUAAUUUCAUUUCAAACUUGCGUCUGAGUCAGUGGCAAGUCUGUUUGAGUCAGUUUAGGUCAUUUUUAGCCCUAGGGGCAUUUUGGUCAUUUCACACGAAAUUUUGGCAUGGGGAGGUUACUUUGAAGUACCUCAUUUAGGCCAUUGGUUCAUUUUAGUCCGUUUUGUCAAUUUUAUUUUUGUUUCGCUUUACGUUUGAUCAAAUUGCACUUUUUUAUUCAAUUGCAUUUUGGUCCCUCAAUUGAGGUCCCAAAAUUACAUUUCAGUCCAAAAGUUUCUAAAAAUUGCAUUUCAGUCCUUUUAUUAUCAUUUUUUCUGCAGAAACGCCCCAAAGGGCAUUUUGGUCCAAAUUUUCGCACAAAUUUUAGUCCAGUCCAGGUGUCUUUUUUUCAUUGGUUCAGGUACACAUGGCAGCAUAUAAAAGGGAAACAGUGUCAGAUUUUUUUGAAGGAUUCCAUUCACACAGUGACACAUCACAAACAGAUCAAAACUUUCUCUCUCCAUUCUGUUAGAUCAAAGAAAACAGAAUCACCAAGAACACAGAAAUUCAUCAAACCCUAACACACAAAUUCAUAACAAAAUCAUCAAAAUCCAUUGAAAUUUCUGCAAAUCUCAGGAGAUUCGUCAGAGAAUCAUCAUCAUCGAUUUGUUCCUUUCGCAAUACGAGUGCGAAUCCGUCACCGGACUCAAGCACGAUCACGAAAGGCGUGCGAAUCCGAGAAGAAGAAGGGAAAAACAGAAUCUGUACAGAAGCACGCAAGCAACGCGCACGCAAGCAAGCAGCGCGCACGCAAGCAAGCAAGCACGCAAGCAACGCGCACGCAAGCAAGCAGCGCGCACGCAAGCAAGCAACAAGCAAGCAAGGACGCGAGCAAACACGCGGAGCAACAAGAUCGUGAGGUAACCGCCGUCGUUCUUCCUCUUUUCCCUUCCGUUUUCUUAAGUUUUUUCAUCAAGGUUCAAGUUUAGAUCUACUCCGAUUCAAAGCUCUUUUGAAAAAUCUAAGCUCGGAUUCGAGUAAUACAUAAAAAAGGAUGUUUAAAAACGUAAAAAAAAUUUGAAUCGGAGCAGUUUCGAACUCCGGCGCGGAGGCGCCACCGCCGUCCGCCGCGCCGGAAAAGCCAUGCCAACCGGAGAAGAUGACCGGAAAGUUAGAGAGAAGUUGGAGCUUCUCUCUCUAAAAAGAGAGAAGAAAGAGAAAGAGGAGUAUCAAAAUGAAAAAAACCGGAUUUCACCUCUAUAUAUAGAGACUUGAACCGGUCCGGUUUAUUUUCGGUUUUACUCUCUCAUUCUCAGCCUUCAGAUCAAUCUAACGCUCCCUGUUGCUCCGGAUUUUUUGGCAUGGUUUGGGCCUUUCACUUUCGUUUUUGCUUUCUUUUUUUUGUUAUUUGCACCACUUUUCUUUGCUGUUUGAACCCCUGCAUGCUUAAAAUUUUCCCUAAAAAACCUCCAAAAAUUAUCACAUGUUUCUUGAUAUUUUCUCAGUGUUUUUAUGACAUUUUUGCACAUUAAGGAUCUAUGAAAUUUUGGUAUAAUUAAUUCAUAGCAUUUUAAUUCUCUUUGAAUUAUUUGUUAUGGAUUCUUCUUCACACAUUUGUCCUUGAUGUGAGAAUAUGUAAUAAAAGCUACUUGAUGUGUUAAUAUGAGAGAUUUGUGCCUAUAAUUUCAUGUUGAUUUGCUGUUUUGAUUUGGUUCAUAAGUUCUUGAUUUUAUGAACAAUAUAUGCAUAUUUUGAAAGAUAUAAAAUGCCAAGUUUAUUCUAGAAAAUAUGGCAUGAAACCAUGCUUGCAUGUUUCCAAUAAUUCCAUGCUAUAACUUGAGAUAAAGAAAACUCUUUCAAAAUUUGUUAAAGCAUGAGAAUUAGAGGCCAAGAAUGCUUUAGGUUUCAUACCUAAAUUUUUAGGGUUUAAUGUCAUUUUGUUAACUUUUUGUGCCAUCUUGCAUGCUUUUAUUUCUUAGUACUUGUUAUGUUUUUUUCUUUUCACUAACAAGUUUAUUUCCAUGUUUCAUGCAUCUCAUUUAGCAUUCCCUCCACCUUCUUUAGCCUAGCAUUUAUUUUUGCAAGUUUUAAUUCCUUUAGAGAUGUAAUUUGUCAUCAUUAUUUUGUAGCUUGGCAAAGGGGCCAUAGAAUGUAUUUAGGCAAUUUUUGUAAUAUGGACUAUGGACACUAUGACGCACCGACACGCACACACUCACCUUAGAUGUAUGCAUAGGAUUGUAUGGUUAAAUAAGCGUUUAGGUUUUAAACACUUAGAGAAAAUCCAUCUUUUCCAAAAAAAACAAUUGAACUUCACUUCAAAAAUUUUCAUAAUAAAUAUGAAGUCAACACUUCAUUUUUUCCUUUCUUUUUUCUUAAGAAAAAUUCAAUUCAUCUUAAUCAUUUAGACUUUCUUUCUAAUCACUAAUCAAACCUCACUUUUUUUGCUAAAUCUAAUGCUCAUGAAGCCUCCCAAUCUCCUUCUUCAAAACCUUUUUUUUCAAAACUUAAAAUCAAACAAUUAAAACAAAAAAAAACAAGUUUCUUUAGCAAGAACUACGAACGGUUUUGAUCCCGUAAAACGGUACGUAGGCAAUGAGUCAAAACUCAUCCAAGCCGAAAUAAAAUCAAAUUCUACUUCUUCUCACCCCCAUUCUUCACUAAUCAUACCUUCUUUUUACAAAUAAGCAAUAAAACUAAAGCGUAGAAAUAAACUUAGGAGAACGGCUCUUAUGGAAUACCAUAAUCGCUCCGGGUGCCUAACACCUUCCCGUAGUGAAAACGACCCCCGAAUCCGGAAACUCAAGGGUUUUUCUCCUUUUACCCUUCCCAAGAAAAAAGAGAGGUAUCAACGGUCGAAAGGUACAAGUCCAAUUAAUGGCUUGGCACCCAAAAACCAUGAUAACAGUAUGGCAUAAAAGGUUGGGACAUGCUAAUUGGAGAUUAAUUUCUAAAAUUAGCAAGUUACAACUGGUCAAAGGAUUGCCUAACAUUGAUUAUCAUUCAGAUGCACUUUGUGGUGCAUGUCAGAAAGGGAAAAUUGUGAAAAGUUCGUUCAAAUCUAAAGACAUUGUAUCAACCUCCAGACCCUUAGAAUUACUCCAUAUUGAUCUUUUUGGUCCAGUUAACACUGCAUCCUUAUAUGGAAGUAAAUAUGGAUUAGUCAUUGUUGAUGAUUACAACAGAUGGACUUGGGUAAAAUUCAUUAAAAGUAAAGACUAUGCAUGUGAAGUGUUUAGCAGCUUCUGCACUCAAAUACAAUCUGAAAAAGAAUUGAAAAUUUUGAAAGUCAGAAGUGAUCAUGGUGGAGAAUUUGAAAAUGAGCCAUUUGAAUUUUUUUGUGAAAAACAUGGGAUUCUCCAUGAGUUUUCCUCUCCUAGAACUCCACAACAAAAUGGAGUUGUAGAGAGAAAGAACAGAACUUUACAAGAAAUGGCCAGAACCAUGAUCCAUGAAAACAACUUAGCUAAACAUUUUUGGGCAGAAGCAGUCAAUACUUCAUGUUAUAUUCAAAAUAGGAUCUAUAUCAGACCUAUGUUGGAGAAAACAGCAUAUGAACUCUUUAAAGGAAGAAGACCCAAUAUCUCUUACUUUCAUCAGUUUGGAUGUACCUGUUACAUCUUAAACACUAAAGACUAUCUGAAGAAAUUUGAUGCCAAGGCUCAAAGAGGAAUCUUUUUAGGUUACUCUGAAAGGUCGAAGGCAUACAGAGUGUAUAAUUCAGAAACACAAUGUGUUGAAGAAUCUAUGCAUGUAAAAUUUGAUGAUAGAGAGCCUGGAAGUAAAACUUCAGAGCAAAGUGAAAGUAAUGCAGGUACAACUGAUUCUGAAGAUGCAUCAGAAUCUGAUCAACCUUCUGAUUCUGAAAAGUAUACAGAAGUUGAAUCUUGUCCAGAAGCUGAAAUCACUCCAGAAGCUGAGUCUAAUUCAGAAGCAGAACCUAGCCCAAAAGUACAGAAUGAAAGUGCUUCUGAGGACUUUCAAGAUAACACUCAGCAGGUUAUUCAACCUAAAUUCAAGCACAAAUCUUCACAUCCUGAGGAGUUAAUCAUUGGAAGCAAAGAUAGUCCUAGAAGAACAAGAUCACAUUUUAGACAAGAAGAGUCUUUAAUAGGACUGCUUUCAAUAAUUGAGCCUAAAACUGUUGAAGAAGCUCUCUCAGAUGAUGGAUGGAUAUUAGCUAUGCAAGAAGAGCUAAAUCAAUUCCAAAGGAAUGAUGUGUGGGAUCUGGUACCCAAACCUUCUCAGAAGAACAUUAUUGGAACAAAAUGGGUAUUCAGAAACAAGCUGAAUGAACAAGGAGAAGUAACCAGAAACAAAGCCAGACUUGUUGCUCAAGGCUACAGUCAACAAGAAGGCAUUGAUUACACUGAAACAUUUGCUCCAGUUGCAAGAUUGGAAGCAAUCAGGUUACUUCUAUCCUACGCAAUUAAUCAUGGCAUAAUAUUAUAUCAAAUGGAUGUCAAAAGUGCUUUUCUUAAUGGUGUCAUUGAAGAAGAAGUGUAUGUUAAACAACCUCCUGGGUUUGAGGAUCUUAAGCAUCCUGACCAUGUUUAUAAACUUAAGAAAUCACUAUAUGGCUUGAAACAAGCUCCCAGAGCUUGGUAUGAUAGACUAAGUAAUUUCUUAAUUAAAAAUGAUUUUGAAAGAGGACAAGUUGACACAACACUCUUCAGAAGGACUCUUAAGAAAGAUAUUUUGAUUGUGCAAAUAUAUGUUGAUGAUAUAAUAUUUGGUUCUACUAAUGCAUCUCUUUGCAAAGAAUUUUCUAAGUUAAUGCAGGAUGAAUUUGAAAUGAGUAUGAUGGGAGAAUUGAAAUUCUUUCUGGGAAUUCAAAUCAACCAAAGUAAAGAAGGAGUAUAUGUUCAUCAAACAAAAUAUACAAAGGAGCUUCUGAAGAAGUUCAAGCUAGAAGAUUGUAAAGUGAUGAACACUCCAAUGCAUCCAACCUGCACCUUAAGCAAAGAAGAUACUGGAACAGUAGUAGACCAGAAGCUAUACAGAGGUAUGAUUGGUUCUCUGUUAUACCUCACUGCAUCUAGACCUGAUAUUUUAUUCAGUGUAUGCUUGUGUGCAAGAUUUCAAUCAGAUCCUAGAGAAUCUCAUUUAACUGCAGUUAAGAGAAUCUUCAGGUAUCUGAAAGGAACAACUAAUCUUGGACUCCUGUAUAGGAAAUCCCUAGAUUAUAAGUUGAUUGGAUUCUGUGAUGCUGAUUAUGCUGGUGAUAGGAUUGAAAGAAAAUCAACCAGUGGAAAUUGUCAAUUCCUGGGAGAGAAUCUGAUAUCCUGGGCAAGCAAAAGACAAGCAACUAUUGCUAUGUCUACAGCAGAAGCAGAGUACAUUUCAGCUGCAAGUUGUUGCACACAACUACUUUGGAUGAAACAUCAGUUGGAAGACUAUCAGAUCAAUGCUAACAGUAUUCCCAUUUAUUGUGAUAAUACUGCUGCUAUUUGUUUGUCAAAGAAUCCAAUUCUACAUUCAAGAGCCAAGCAUAUUGAAAUCAAACACCAUUUUAUCAGAGACUAUGUUCAAAAAGGAAUUUUAGAUAUACAAUUCAUUGAUACUGAACAUCAAUGGGCUGAUAUAUUUACAAAACCUUUGUCUGUUGAAAGAUUUGAUUUUAUUAAGAAAAAUUUGAACAUGCAUUUUGUGUCUGAUUGAAAAAUUGCUUGCCUCUGAAUAAGAAGUUUGGUUCUGAAGUUUAUUCAGGAGCAUUUUGGUUCAUCAGAAGCUCUUAACUGAGGUUCUGAGGAAAAUGUGCUUCUGAAGAUGACGUCAGCACUAAAACUUCAGAAGUGUUAUUCUUUGCUUCUGAAUAGCUUGGUUAGUGGGAACGUUGGUAGUUACUUUAUGUAAACAGCUGUCCCAUUACCCAAAAAGCAGUUUUCUGAAGAGUCUCUGACGUGGUCUAUUUGUAUUGGAGUAUAACAAAAAGGGCAAUGAUGUUUUAUUCGCUUUUUAACAUACUUACACGCGCCCCCAAUUUGUCAUUAAUGUUAUGUUUGUUUGUCUCUAUUGAAUUGCAAACGGUUUAAUAAAAACACUAAGUCAAUUCACACACUACUCACUUCACAACAAACACUUUCUAUUUUUCGUCUUAACCCUCUGCGAAAGUAAACGCAUUCUCUCAUCCUCUCAAAAACUCUUUAGAACCCUAAAACCACUUCAUAUCAAUGGCAUCUUCAAGUUCUGCCGGUGGUUCUUCAUCGAAUAUGGAUAUAGAUACUCCUGCUUAUGAAAUCAAAGGAAGAACUAUGUCGAUUGAGGAAUGGGAUCUAAUCAUUCAAGCGGAAAAUCCAGUGGAUUUCACUUCUCUAACUCAUCAUGGAUGCGACUUGGUAAGAUUCUACAAAAAGCAGAAGCUGAUGAGUUACUUCAGUCUUCUCAACGGUCCUACUUAUGAAGUGCUUGUCAGACAAUUCUGGGUAAGAGCUUCAGUGUUUGACAAAGUUGCUGCUAAACAGGAAGAAGCUCAGAUGAUUCUGGUUGAUCCUACUUUGGAGGGAAAAACCAGAGAAGAAAUGGGUCUACUCGCCUUCACUGGGACUGAGAUUAGAUCAAACGUCAUGGGGAUUCCUGUAACAAUCAAUGAGCAUGUGAUUGCUCAAGCCAUGAGAAGGGAUGCUUCUGGGACAUACGAUGGAGAAGAGAUUCCUAACCCCAGAACAAGCCCAUGGAAGGAGAUAGUAAACAACACUAUCUACGGAUCAAAGGAUGCUAAGCCUUACAGCACCUUAAGCAUGGAAAAGAAAAUGCUGCUGAAGAUCCAAAAUGAAAACAUUUUUCCCAAAGGUGGAGGAAAUGAUCAACCUUCACUUGGUCACAAAGUCUUUCUGCAUCACACCAUCUCUCAGGAAACAACAAUGAAUGUUCCCAAAUAUAUGUUUAAAUACAUGAUCAAGGAACUCAAGAAGAGCCAGAUGGAGAACAGGAAGUUUGUUCCCUAUGGAAGGCUGCUCUCCAUAAUCUUUCAAGAAGGAGGACUCCUAAGUGCCCUGAAAGACGUGGGUAUUUAUGAUAAUCAGAAGCUGGGAGCAGUCACAGGAAAAAUAAUCAAUGGGGCAACUCUAGUCAAGAUGAGGCUGAUUUCAACUUGCAAGAAACUAGAUACAGAUAUGCAUGAAUCUGAUGUCAUAUCUGAUCUAGUCACUCAUCACAUCCCUAUCUGCAAGAAAGAUCCCCUGGAUGUGCAGAUGGCCUACAUCUUGGACUACUACAAGAGCUACAACAAGAAAAUCAGCCUGAAAGAUAUCCCAGAAGAAAUGUAUGGUGGUGAUCUGCCUGUGGCCAAAGGCAGAAAAUCUAAAAAGAAGCAGAUCACCAAGGAAGAAUACCUUGCUGAAGAUGCUACUGAGAUGGGUGCUCAGAAGCAUAAGAAAGCUAAGAAGGAAAAAUCUGCUAUGUCCACCAUUCUUGAGGAAGUGGAGGAUUUGGAUGAUGUCCCUCUUAUCAAAAAAGGGACAAGGAGUACUCAAGAAACAGCAGAACAGCCUGCUUCUGAACAAACUGGUUCUGAACAAGCUGCUUCUGAUCAAGCUGCUUCUGAAAAGCCUUCAAGUCCCAAAAAUAAAAGAGAAGCUGCUCUUCAGACCAUCAAAAGGAAGAGGUCUAAUUCAACAAGAAAUCUGAAGACAGCUGAAGGAAGAAGGGAAGAAAUGUUGAAAGAACUGGAAGAGAACUGGGAUGAAGACUCAAGCCCCAAGAAGGCAAAAAGGACUGCAACUUCUGAGCCCAUAGUCAUGCCCAGUUUUGAAAUGACUGAAGAAAUGAGGCAGUACGCUAGAGAGGUUUCUGCAUCCAAGAUAGCAGAAAAGAAAAGGUUGAAGGAAGUGUUUGAGAAAGAAAGGGAUGAGCGUCUCAAGGCUGCAGGGUAUGUGCCUACUCCUGACAUUGCUGCUUUAGCGUCUGAGUUAGAAACAGUUCAGUAUGGAGCAACUCUGCUUUCUCAAGCCUUGAAGAAUAAGCAAGCUUCAGGAGCAACUUCAUCAGAUCCAGUUUCAACAGCUCCAGAAGCAAUUCAUCCAGAAGCUCAGUCCUCAGGUAAUCCAUCUAAAGCUCCAACUAAUACUCAGUCUCCAUCUCUACCCUCUUCACCCUCUUCAUCAUCCACAGAAUCAGAUGACCAACCCCUUAGCCAACAUAUAGACAAGCUUCUAAAAACCAAACCUACCAAACUAACAGAAUUUGGAACACUUGACUAUGAGAGUACUCAAAUAGAAUUUUCAAAAAAUAGGAUAAAACUUUGUGAGAAAUUCAAUUUGCCUACUACUCAUCCACUAUAUCCAGAUACUCCAGAACCUGUUAGUAUACAACAACCUGAACCUACCCAAACAAACUCACCAAAUAACCAAUCUCCACAAAAAGCCUCUGAAGUAGCUUCAGAUGCAACUACUUCAGAAACCCCCCAACACCAAGAAUCCUCAACCCUUCACAACUUAGAAAAACAUCUAGGUGGUGAAAUGCAACCAACACCCACUAAGGCCUCGAAGACAGUUUCUGAAAAGACUGUCUUGGAAACCCAAACAGAAACCCAAACCAUCCCUGAGCAAACUGUUCAGGAGCAAACUGCUUCUGAACAAGUUGCUCCUGACCAAACAACUUCUGACCAAACAACAGAACAACAACAACAACCAGAUUCACCCACUAUAAUAGACUUAACCUCUGACCAACCUUCCACAUCAAAUACAACUCAAACUGAACCUUCACCCAUCCCUGACCAUAUCCUAGAGUCUGAGUAUAUAGAGGAACAACUGAUCAGACUUAGUGAUGAGAUUCAGGCACUGAUUCCUCGCAGAACAGUUCCUGCACCUCCUAUUCACUAUUAUGAUCAGUGGAUGGAUCUACAGAAGAGCUUUGAUGAGCUGCUGGAUCAGCUUAGAACUAAAUGUGUGUCAUCUCACUCUGCUAUGCUGAAAAAGCUUUUGGAUGAUAUGCAUGAAGCAGCUAAGGAGAAAGAGCUGAAUUUUGUGCCUCUGCUGGACAUCACUCCUUUCUAUCCAGAAGAAGAGUACAUCACUAGGGCUGCUAGAAUUCAGGCUGGAUUUAAACGAAGAAUGAGGGAAAAGGAUGAGCUACUUCAGAAGAAGGAUGAUCAGAUCAAGUAUCUCUUAGAACAGUUGUAUAAGCAAGCCCAACCUUAGUUGCACACCCAACUCUAGCUUGUUUUUUACUUUUGUUCUUCGUAGCUGUGUCCUUGUAUCUUAAUCUUCUUUAUAUAUAUUAUCAUUGUUUCUGGAUCUUGUGCUUUUUCACCUUCAAUAUGUUUUACAAGCUUUAACUCUGAUGAUAUUUACUGUUUAAUGCUGCUUGCUCUGAUACUCUUUCUUUUGUUUCUAUUCUUUUUGUUGAUGACAAAAGGGGGAGUAAAUGUAUAGUAUUUGUUAAGGCACUGAGCCCUACUAUAACCACUUCUAAAUUUCUUUUAAAUACUUCUGAUUUGAUUUUAUAAGUAUUUUAUUGAAAUUUAAUUAAUAAGAAUAGAACUUAGGGGGAGCUUACAAACCUCACCUUAAAGAACUAUUAGACUUAGGGGGAGCUUACAAACCUCUGUCCCAGUAGUCAACUUAUUAAUUAGAUCAACAACAAUUGAACAUUUUAAAUACUAUUGUUUGUCAUCAUCAAAAAGGGGGAGAUUGUUGGAACAAAAUGUGUUUCACAAUGAACCUUAUUAAGUUUUGAUGAUAACAAGGUAUUAAAAAAUUGUCAAUUGGUUAUUACUAAUAAUUGUUCAAGUGUACAGGACCAAAGGCUACUCAAGUUAUUUCAAUAGGUCUUGGAAGAACAAUGGAAAGAAAAAAAGAAAUUCUGAGCAUCUGAAGAAAACUGCUCCUGAAGCUAAACUGCUCCUGAAGAGAUGACGUCAUCAGAAGCAGAAAGUCAUCAGAAGCAGAAAGUCAUCAGAAGCAAAAGUUUUCAUCAGAAGCAAUAUCUUCACCAGAAGCUACUUUUGAUCCUUUAAUCAAACUGAAGAUUCAAAGUUGCUGAUUCUCAAUUCAGUCUUAUCAAAGAAGAACAAAGAAUUGAAAGGGAGGUAUCAACGGAUAUAUGGAUAGCACUGAGCUCUUGUCUCUCGUUAAUAGAGUUGACAAAGUACAAGUGUACAACCACUACCUCCACUACUCUGUUUUCUGUCUACGCUACAAGACAAAACAACAGCCAUGCCUGCAGAAUUUGUACACUCAAGAUGGGAAUGAAUUUGAAGUUUAUUCUUCAAAGGACUACACCCAAAUCAGGCAAAGGAUCACUGGUGGAUAAUCAAAGGAUUUCAAACGACUCUUUAGACGUGCUGAUUAUCUCAACGUCUCUUUCACACCUCUAUAUAAAGGAAUGAAGACUUGAAGAUUUAAGAUAGAGAUACAUAAGUUCAAAAGCGCCAAAACUCUGUCAAUUUGAUUCUAAAAAGCACACUGAAUUUCUGCACUGAUUUGAUACAUCUUAGAAAUUCAAAGUCUAGAGUCUUUUCUGUAUUGUAUUGUGAACACCACUGAUUGUAUAUCAAGUGUUCAAUUCAAACUCAAUUCUCUGUAUUUUUGUUUGAUUAGAAGUCUCUUGCCUGCGUGCUUGAGCAUUAGAAGUCUCUUGCUUAGUGCUUGAGCAUUGGAAGACUCUUGCGUGUGUGCUUGAGCAUUGUUUUGUGAAGUCUCAUACUUUGAUAGUAUUGAGCAUUUGUAAUCUUUGUGAUUAUAGUGAAAUCUCCUUGGAAGUGCAAGGGGGACUGGACUACUUCCGUGUUGUGGAAGGAACCAGGAUAACUGCUUGUGUCUUUGUCUUUCUUUUCUCUGCUCUGUUCUUUUCCGCUGCAUAUCUGAUUCUGAUCAUUUCAUCAGAAGCACUCUCAGUCUGCUUCUGAAGAUUUAUCAGAAGAAGUAUUAAUUAAGAGAAAAAGAAAACACAAUUCAACCCCCCUUCUUGUGUUUUUCUCACCUUCAUACAGGAUUGAUUAAGAAUGUUUGAGAGUUUUCAAUUGGUAUGUGUUGUUUGUCUUGAGGAUUAUCAAGGUUGGCCGGUUGCCACUUGGUACGGUAUUGUCGGAAAUAGUUCAUUUAAGUCAAUUGUCUUAUGAUUUAUCGUGACUGUUCUUAUAUGACUAAGUGAAGUUGUAUGAAUGAAUGAUUGUAUGUUGGAUAUGAUGUUUAUCAUGAGAUGUCGUAUGUUCUCUUACUUAGAAUGUAACCAAUGCUUGAAAUGGUGAAAAUAUAUGAGGUGGUUGAUGUUGAAUGACAUUGUUGAUUAUUGAUGAUCAUGUUGAUGUAGUGAUGAUGAAUCUUAAUUGAAUUAUGAUUUGAUUGUGUAUGGACAUGAUUUCAUGAUAAUGCAAUUGUUGUGGAGAUGAUCAAUAUAUUUGGAAGUUGUCCUUUAUAUUGUGGUGAAAAUUGUGAAGUGAUGUUGCAUUAUCGAGUCUUUGUACAUGUCCAUGCAUCAUAGUCGUGUUGAGAUUUUAUAUGAUGUUUUUGUUACAUCAUUGGGCUUCGGCCUAGCAGAGAUCAUUUAGUGAUCUAGUUUUGUAGACUUCGAUCUUGCAGAGAUCCGUUAGUGAUCUAGAUUGUAGGCUUCGGCCUUGCAGAGACCUUUGGCGGUCUAGAUAUAGGUGACGACCUUGGAGUGAAAUGGUACCACAUGCAUAUAUGUGUCGAACUAGGUGCACAUCAUGACAUGAGUCUUAUUGGUGGAAUGUGAAUGAUGAUUGUGUAUGAAUAAAUGUGAUUUGAUAAUUGUUCAUGCCACAUGCGAUUGGUGAUUAAUUGAUGUAAGAUAUUGGAAUUAUGGUAUGAAUGUAUAUGUAGAUAUUAUUGUGAUUAAGUAUAUGAUAUUUGAAUUGAAUUAUUCAUGUUAACUGUUAUGUGGAUUAUGAUGAUGUAAUACUUACCCCCAGUGGGUUUUGACCGCCUACCUGUCUGUAUGGAUGGGUAGACGCUGUGCAUGAUUAGUUGCUCCGGUGAGUUGAUUGUUGCUUGGUAGAUAUCGGGAGCUAUCUCCGAUAUCGGUGCUAGUCGAGUCUAGGUUGGCUCUGAUCUAGGCGUCUGUUAGAUUUCCUAGAUUUAUCUGUUUGGAUUUAUUUAUGUUGGAGAUUUACCCUUGUUGGGAUUUGGAGAUUCAUCUAUGUUGAUGUAUUAUUUGAUUCAUGACAUGUAUUGCUUCGAAGUUUGUUGAGAUUUUUAUGCAUGCAUGUUGAAUUUGAAUUUUGCAUGAUGACGUAGCAUCUGUUUCUUGAAUAAAUGUAUUAUUCGCAUGUUUUAUUGCUUUGAUAGAAAUAGGGUGUUACAGAGAUGAAUAAUGAGGAAUCCAUAAUGUGACGAAGAGUGAUGACGAAGAUAUUAUAUAUAUGUAAUUAAAUAAAUACGAUGAGAAAUGAUAAUAUUUAUAUGUUAGUGAUGAUGAGGAUGACAAUAACUAUAUCAGUAUGAUGAUGAGAGUAAUGAUGUUUAUCUAUGAUGAUGAUGAUGAUGAAGGUGGUGUAUAUAUAUUGACGAUGAGAAUGAUGACGUAUAAUUAUGAUGAUGACUUGAACGAUGAUAUCUAAUAUACAUUGAUGAUGAGAAUGACGAUGUUUACUUACGAUGACGAUGUGAAUGACGAUGAUGUGUUUGCCUUGAUGUUAUGCAUAACAGGAAGAGUUCGCAUUUAUGAUUCUGAUUUGUUGAUGAUGUUAUGAUCUUUUAAUACUUGAAGAGUCUGUCUCAUGCAUGCAUAUAUAGUCGUGUCUAGGAAUCAUGAUGAUGAAAUGACGAUGAAAGUCUAGUGACAUAUCUCUGGCAAAUUAUGACGAUGAAAGUCCAGUAACAUACCUCUGACAAAUUAUGACGAUAGGUGUGGUACCACAAUCAUAUAGGUCAUUAGGAGAGUCCAUGCUUAUAUAUGAUGAUGUUGUAUUGGGUGUUUAAGUGUGAAUAUGACGUGCUGCUGUGACAUGUAAAAUGAAGAGAUUAUACAUAGUAACUGUUGAGAAUGAUGAGAUAGUGGAGACUAUAUUCUUUUGAUAUUUAUUUAAUGUGCAUGUUUUUCCCUAUUAUUAUGUUAUGGCAGGAUUUCUCACCCCUUAUUUUGUUGUGUUGUUUUCUGUACGGUGAUUGUACCUUGAGUACAUAUACUUAGAUUAACAAGGAGUAGCUGUGGGACGUUUUAGAGGAUGGAGAUGAUGGGAUGCCCUCCGUUUAGUUCUGUUAUUUAGUAGUUGAAUAAGUUGUAGUCGCUACGAGCUCUGAUAUUGUAACACUAGGGUGGGGUUAGUGAUUUAAUUUUUAAUUGCAGUUUGAGUUGAAUCUUGGAAACUUUGUUACUUUCCUUUUAUGAUGUUAAAUAACGUGAAUAAUUUUAUUAAUACAAUUAGUGAAUUGUUUUCCUCUGUUUGACAAUCUUUACUGUAAAAGAAUUGGUAAUGCUUUUAUAUGAUUAAUGAUGAAUUUGUAACAUCCUCUCUAUUAAAUAUAUUUUAUUAUUUAAUAAUUAUCGUCGGAAAUUAGGGUGUUACAUUCGCUGCCGUGAACCUCCCACUACAACACAUCUUUGUGAUUCCAAUCAUUCCCAUUCGAUUUAAUUAGUCCAUCAAUGAUUGGAUCAAGAGCAACAACAUCUGAUAUUGAAUUCGAAACUGGUCCAUUAUGAGAGUUAACCUGAGAUGUUCAAUAAUACAAAUUGGAAAUCAAAUCACUAAUUUCAACUCAAUCAUACAAAUCAAAUCUAGUUUUCACAGACCAACACCGCUACUUUCAUCGAACAAAAAACCAGGAGAUUCCCGAUAAUGUAAGAGGGGAUUGCAACGAUUGUGACGACAACAUCAAGACAACAGUGAGAAGAAGGGGGAGGGGGACGAAACUGUGGGAGGCGGUUGGCGGCGGAGGUUGACGGUGAUGGUAGAAGAUUGGAGACUGAGUGUACGUAAGAGGAAAGAGGAAACAUAUUAAGUUUUGAUUUAUUAAAAACAAAUAUUAAUUUUUCAACUUCAAAUAAAUCUCAACCCUUAAAUAAUUUUUUUGCCACAUGUCUUCAAUCUAAGACCCCAAAAGGAAAAUUAAGCAUUGGGUAAAUUGAGCAUACAUGAACUCGAAUGUGUAAUGAAUAAUAACAAUAGUCUCUUAGUGUAUAAAAAUUUCAAAAUAAUCCCUGAUUGUGAAAUUUGUUAGUCAAAAUAGUUCACGAUGUUAAAAUGUUUUAUUAAUAUUAUCAUAUUAGUCUUUCAAAAAAAUAUAUAUAUAUAUAUAUAUAUAUGGAUAGGAUCAAAUGACACACAUGGUGUCAAAAUUAGUUUGUCACCAAAUCUUAUCCAUUCAUUUCAUUUAAUCCAAAGGCUUAAAACUACCAAAUUAAUUAACAUACAUCAAAUACUCUCUAUCACCUAAUUAAGAAACAUAUCUAUCAUCAUUAAUUCAUAAUCAAACAAUACCUUCUUGUUUUUGGUAGAUUCAAACCCUUUUUAUUUUCCCCUAAUUUUUUUCUUUUGGCCAUAAGCACAAACUCAAACUUUAUAAUUUUUAUAAAAUCAUGAUAAAUCUUAAUUUAGUUAAACAUGAGACACAACGAGUCCUCUAAAAAAAAUUAGACCUAUGAGUGACAAAAUAAUCUAAUUAGCAUGAACAAUUCAAUAAUCAUUUGUCGAGCUUGUUGGUUUUUUUUAAUACAAUUUAAUUAAUUAUUAAAAAAAUAUGAGUAUAUGAGAUAAAGACAAAGAAAUAUCAUUGAUGGUGAUGAUGACUCAAACAACCAUAGGUAUAUGAGUUCAACCAUUCAUUUUAUAAAAAAGUUUAAAAAAGAAGUUUGAGUAUGAUUAUAGAAAUCUGGGAAAAUUUAUAAAUUUGGGAAAAUAAAAAAGAGGAACAAAUAAACUUGGGGAAAUAAAAAUGGAAUGUUUGAUUAUAAAUUAAUGAUGAUAGAUAUUUUUCUUAAUUAGGUGAUAGAGAGUAUUUGGUGUAUAUUAAUUAAUUUAGUGAUAUUUUUAAGCCUUUGGAUUAAAUAAAAUGAAUGGAUGAGAUUUGGUGUCAAACUAAUUUUGACACCAUGGUGUCAUUUGAUCCUAACCUAUAUAUAUAUAUAUAUAUAUAUAUAUAUAUAUAUAUAUAUAUAUAUAUAUCAGUCUUUAUAAAUAUUUACUUAUUAUCAUUUGAAUCUUUAUAUAAAAAGAGUGUUAUUGUGAACCCUCAUGUAUAAGAGGAAUGCUAGGGUCACACCCUCUAACACUCUCCUAUAACACACUCCAAUCAUAAAUAGUCACAUCAUCUAUUGUUUUUGAACAAUGCUAGUGUCAAACGCUUUAACACACUCUCUUUAAUUGGUCCACAUCAUCCAUAUCUUGAAUCAUUUUUUUGGCCUACCGCUUCUUAAGGUUACUGCAUCUUUUAUUUACUUUUUCUUUUGGUCUUCUACCAAGACCAGCAUAGGGAAGCAAUUGAUCUAUCUCCCCAGUUCAAACCACCAGGACCAUCCCUUCAUCCACCCUUAAUCCACCUCCAUCAACAACCACUCAACUUCAAAUUUGUUGUCAAUCUCUCAUUAUGACUUUAACAAAACACCAAAUCCACCAUAAACCUUCUGUUCAACCACACCAUGGCCAUUUAAAUUUUAGAUCCACCCAGUACAAGCAAAAAAACACCAUCAAUGCCGGAGAACGUCAUUUAGGUCCGGGCAUAUCAUCCGACCUUUAUCUCACAAACCACGAUACUUGACGGAGAAACGUCACACAUGGUCACACAACGAAAGGGAAAUACACUAUCAGUGGUGGCAGAGACACAAAAGGUGCUGCACCGAUGCAGAAACUGAUGGGUCAUGGUGGACGGUGGUUUAAUGGAGUUUUUUGUUGAUGGUGUUUUAGUGGAAUUUGUAAACAGCAACCAAUACUCAGAAAAGGAAAAAAGAAUAAAAAAAAUAAAACAAGCUAACUUGGAAAACCGAUUAACAAGUUAAGGUUUAGAAUCAUAUGGAUGACGUGGACCAAUUAGAGAGAGUGUGACCAAUGGAGUGUGUCAAAGCGUUUGACGCUAACAUUGCUCAUUGUUUUUAUGCAUUUACCUGUUGACCGGUUGCACAAGUUGUGACAAAAAGAAAAGAACAUUCUACCAACAAAACAAAAAAAUUAAAGAGAAAGAAAAAACUUCAAUCUUGCUGCACUCCAUGGCUACUCCUUCAUACUCUUUUUGCCGUCGUCGAACAAUCAGUAACAUUUUCGAGACAAGAUUCCAUUCUUAUGACAUUUUAAAUUUGCUUGCAUCUUUAAUUUUCGACAAGUUCCAUUUUUGUUGUAUUGUUUUUUUUCUGAUAUAGUUUUUUAAGAUUAUUCAAUUUACAAAGUGCAUUCUCCUUUGCAAAAAAAUCUUGGUUGAUAUACAGAAGCAUAAACAUUAUUUUGGUAAUUGUGAUUUCAAUUGGAAUUUGCGAAAGAUAUCCCACUCAAUUUUUCCAUGUCUUUAUUUGGGAAAAAAACAACUUAAAAUCUGGAAGUGUUCUUUUUCUGCAUAAGGUUUCAAACAGUAUAUGUAUAUGUCAAUUUGGGUUAGAAAACUUCCAUUAACAGACAAGAAUCUGCAAGAAGGUGAAACGUUGUAACAUGUAUGGUGAAAGGUUGUGCGUGCGGUGAAGAUGAAAAGAUAAAGCCAACAUAAUAAAAAUAAUAUAAAAUAAAUAGUUAAACUCUUAUGUAAAAUGAAACCGGUAGCAGCUUAACAAAUUAAAAACAUGGAUGACAUGUUUAUUUACAAUUGUUACACAAAGAUCAAGCUUGAUCAAUCCAAUGUUCCGCCUAGUGUGUGAAAGGAGUGGAGCUCACAAAGUGUACGGAAAAAAAAAAAACCGAAAGCAUGCGAGAACGGGCUCAAGAAAAUAUGUGUGCUUGUUCAUGAUUAGUGAAUAUCAAAGUAAGCAAACAAAAGAAUGGGGAUUGAACAUUCUUAAUGGAGCUCACAACCAUGCGAUGAAGCCGGCUUUAGAAUGACACAUUCUUGCUGGUAGAUUAAAGGAGGAGGACAAGAAGAUUGUACGCGACUUGACCAAGAGCAAGAUGCUUCCAAGAAAUAUUUUGAUACAUUUGAAGAACAAAAGACCACAUUGCAUGACAAAUGUGAAGCAAGUGUACAUUGAACGUCAACAAAAAUGGAAGGCAAAUAGAGGUGACAAUAAGUCGUUGCAAUAUCUAAUCUCGAAGUUGGAGGAGCACAACUAUACUUAUUAGUCAAGAACACAAAGUGAAAGUACUACAAUCGAAGAUAUCUUUUGGGCUCAUCCAACAUCCUUUAAGUUGUUUAACAAUUUUCCAACGGUUUUGAUUAUGGACUCUACCUACAAAACCAACAUGUAUAAAAUGCCAGUGUUUGAGGUAGUUGGGGUCACUUCGACCGAUUUGACAUAUUUGGUUGAGUUUGAAUAUGUGACACAUGAGAAAGAGGAAAACUUUGUUUGGGUUUUAAAAAUGUUGCGUAAACUUCUUACGUCAAAGAUGAAUAUGCCUAAGGUGAUUGUGACCGACAGUGAUAUGUCUUUGAUGAAAGCGGUUGCAAAUGUUUUCCCCGAAAGUUAUGCAAUGAAUUGUUACUUUCAUGUGCAAGCAAAUGUUAAACAAAUGUGCGUCUUAGAUUGUAGAUAUCCUUUGGGAAAAAAGGAUGGGAAAGAGGUGAAACCUAGCGAUGCUGUGAAGAAGAUAAUGAUGGCAUGGAAAGCUAUGGUUGAAUCGCCCACUCAAGAGUUAUAUGCAAAUGCAUUAGUGGAGUUCCAAGAUUCAUGUAGUGAUUUCCCACUUUUCAAAAAUUAUGCCAUGACCACCUUGAAUGAAGUGAAGGAGAAAAUAGUGAAGGCAUGGACAAACCAUAUGUUGCAUCUUGGUUGCAGGACCACUAACAGGGUCGAAUCGGCUCAUGCUUUAUUGGAUAAAUAUUUGGACAAUAGUGUGGGUGAUUUGGGUACUUGUUGGGAGAAAAUAUAUGACAUGUUGUUGCUUCAGUUCAUUGCGAUACAAACAACAUUUGGUCAGAGCGUUACUGUGUUGGAACAUAAAUUUAAAGAUGUCAUUUUGUACUCCGGCUUAGGUUGUCAUGUGUCUAGAUAUGCUUUGGAAGAGACACGUUGUAGGGAAACAUUGUGCAUGGACAAUGACAUUUAUGGUUGUGUUCAAAGGACAUCUUACGGGCUACCAUGUGCAUGCGAAAUUGCUACUAAACUCCUUGAAAAGAAGCCAAUUUUAUUGGAUGAGAUACACCACCAUUGACAUAGGUUACAUAUGGGCGAAGAAAGUAACGAAGUUGGUUUUUGUGUCAAGGUUGAGUUGAAGGCUAUUGUAGAACGUCUCAAGAAACUCCCUUUUCAAAUGAAGCUUGAAGUCAAAGAGGGUUUGUGGUAGUUGGCAUUUCCUGAAACCACCAUGAUGUCUCCACCACCACGAAAAGUACCAACCAAGGGAGCUAAGAAAAAAGUAGACAUUGUGAGGUUUAAAGGAAAAAUUACAUCGACUAGUCGGAUCUCUUCUUCGUGGGAGGUUGUUGAUUCCCAAAAUCCGGAUAGUCAAUCGUCACCAUCACCAACAACAUCAUCAUAUAAAAGAAUAAAAGAUGCUCGUCUCGGUAAAACAUCACUUAACCCACUUCACCCCCUUCUCGGUAUUCAAAGCCUAAGGCUAUCCCGGUUAUGAGGCCUAUUGAUUAUAUGCCACACUUUAUGCUUCCAUUUAUUGAAAAAGUGGUAGAUGUUAUUGGCGAUGUACAUUGUGGAUUCCGGGCUAUAACCGAGUUCAUGGGCUUGACCGAACAAAAUCAUAUCAUGAUUCGUACACUUCUUAUUCAAGAGUUGAAAGAUCAUAGAGAUGAUUAUGUUGAAGUACUUGCGGGUGAGAAUCGUUUUAACUACAUUUUAAAUGGCUUACAUCCUCCGACAAAUACAAAAAGUUGUGUACAUCUUGUUGGUAAGUGGUUGACUUUUUCUGACAUGGGACACAUUGUUGCUAAUUAUUACAAAAGGUGCGUGGUCGUGUUGACAAAUCUUGAAGUUGGAAACUCGGAAUCUUUUUUCCCACUAAGAGGGCCACCACCGUCGGGUAAGCAAAAUACUCCCAUCAUGUGCCUUGAGGCAAUUCCGAAUCAUUUCGUGCUUAUUUAUUUGAAAAAUGGUUGUCCACUACCUCCAUCAUCUAUGGAGUGGCACAAUCACAAGAAAGAAGAUGCGGUGACUUGGGAAGAUGAGUAUUUGGAUCAACAUGAGUUGUUCCGGAAGCUCAUGGCUUUUGAAAGUGGAAACAAACCGCCGAAACCACAAAAGGAGUCAAACAAAGUGGUGUCUAUUUUGCUUGACACUCCCGAAAAAUCAAAGCAACAAUUUGAAGUUAUUGCGGAAGAUGAGGAAGAUUCUAAUUCACUUGAUCUUUCUUAAUCACUUGGUCUUUAAUGAGUGAUUUUUUUGUCGGUGUUAGUCUUUUUUUUGGUAGAAAUUACACAAACGUAUAUUUUGGGGUCGAAAUUGUAACGCCAAUUUUUCGUGGCCAAUAUAUAAUUAACAUUAUGUCAUUUAUAUUGAUAUAUAUGAUAAUAUGACUUUUAUGUGGUGAAACUAGUGCCAUACUUAUUUAUUCGUCAUUAAUGUCUACGCAAUUGAUUUAUUCGUUAUUACAUUUCAUUUAAUUUUGUUCUAAUCUAUGAUUCUUUUCUUAAAGAUUUUGUCAAGUGAAACAUGUAUGAGGUUGCAAAAAUUGAAGGUCGUGUUAGGUACUCCGCUUUUAAAAAGACAAUUAAGGUUAUCAUAACGCCAACAGACUCUUUUGAUGAUUUGAAGGCACAACUUAACACUUAUUUUGAGCAUCUUGGUGAAAAUCAAUAUACACGUCACUUGUUUGGUCAAAUGUCAUGCAUAGACCUAGGAGAAGAUAGAGAUGAAUACACAUGGAACACGACAAGCUAUAUGCCUUGGCUUAUUAAAGACGAUAGCGACGUCGAAUUUAUGUUUCGGAAUAUGGUGGAAAAUAAUAUAUUAUAUAUGUAUGUUCGUUCCAUAUGCAAUUGUGAUGAAUGUAAGUAGGGAUUUAAUAUAAUGAUGUGUAAUGAGUUGUUUAAUUAUGGACACUUUGUAACUUUUUGAUGAAUUUCAAACUUUUAUGUAAUUUGAACCAAAUGUCGGUUUGAUUUAAUUAUGGACAAUUGUAAAAUAUAUUGUAUUUUUCUUGUUUAUGACCGAGUUUCAAUGUUGUAUGAUUUAUAUUGCCUUUGGAAAUGCUUUGGUUUAAUUACAGGUAAAAAUUGGCCGAAAAAUGGCUUGAGAAUGCUUUAGAAUUAUGCAGAACCCACUGUGUGCAUAAUUGUUUUCCUCAGCAGUUAACUGCAGCCGAUUUCGAAUUACUCGGCAUUUAACUGCCGAGGGGGCAAAAGCGUAUUUUACUCGUGUGACACAGCUUUAUGCAAUGUGUCAACAUCAAUUUUCCCAUGUUUUUCUUAAUGAGAAAUGAUAUUUGUACAACUUUUGUAUAAUCUUCUCUUAUAAUCACAUUAUCUUCUUAUUCUCUCUAUUGUUUUUGACCAAUAAAAAGAGAGCACAACAAUAUUAUCCCAAAAAUUAUAGCAAAAUAGUUGUUCAAAUAUCACUACUGUUUAUUAAGAGUCUACCCUCAUACUAUUACACAUGAUUAUUGUUAUUUAAUUCUUCUUGUGUCUACACACCGAAACUCAUACAAAAUCUAAAAAUCAAAAUAGGUUUGAUCCACUUUUCAAUUCCCACGGAUAAAGAAUUACUAAGAAAGCGCGGCGGUAUAGAGGGCUUCACAAUCCUUUCUCUCACCGGCACCGCCUUUAAUUCAUUCAUAUAUACCACCGAUUUUCCCCUAAUUUUUUUUGUUUGUUGCUUUGUUCAAUGGCUACCGCUGAAAUUCCACAAGAUGGAUUGAAGAAACUGGAGUAUCUUUCACUUGUAUCUAAGGUAUGCACUGAGUUAGAAUCUCACACCGGCACCGGCGAUAAGGUUCUCGCCGAGUUCAUCACCGAGUUAGGUCAUUCUUCUAACUCGGUUGAGGAAUUCGACGCUAUACUCAAAGAAAACGGUGCUGAGAUGCCGGAUUACUUUGUUCGAACUCUUCUCACCAUUAUCCACGCUAUUCUUCCUCCUAAUCCUAAAAAAGAGAAAGAGAAUCAGAACGUGAAGAGUUCCACCUCCAAUACUAAGUUCAAGGCUUUGGCAAUUUCAGAUGAUAGGGAUCGUGCUAAGGAGCUUCGAGAAGAGAUCGAAAUCGAAGCUAGAGAGAAACAAAAACAAAUGGAACCACCAAUGGACAGGUAUGAAGAUGAUGGUGGUUACAGAGAUAGAGAUAGGGAUAGAAGAGAUAGACGCAGAGAUAGGUAUGAAGAAGAUGAUAGAAGAGAUCAUAGAAGAGGAAAUGAUAGAGACAGAGAUAGACGCGAUAAAAGGGGGGAUGAUAGAGGCAGAGAUAGGGAUCGAUAUGAGAGGCGGAGGAGAGAUGAAUAUGAAGAUGGAAGGGAGGAGACUGAUGGUAAUCAGAAAGGGAGGAGAGAAAGAGAUUCGAAGCGUGGUGGUGGUGGUUCAGGUGAGCCCGAGUUGUAUAUGGUUUAUAAAGGAAGAAUUUCUAGGGUGAUGGAUACUGGGUGUUUUGUUCAGCUGGAUGAUUUUAGAGGAAAGGAGGGUUUGGUUCAUGUUUCUCAGAUGGCUACUAGGAAGAUUGUUAAUGCUAAAGAGGUUGUUAAAAGGGAUCAACAGGUUUAUGUGAAGGUGAUUUCUGUUUCUGGUUCCAAGUUGAGUCUUUCCAUGAGGGAUGUUGAUCAACAUACUGGGAAGGAUCUUCUUCCGUUGAAGAAGAGCUCGGAGGAGGAGGAUUCAUUUCGGACGAAUCCGCAGGACUCGAAGGAUGGACCAGUGGUUAGGACAGGGCUUUCUGGGAUCAGGAUUGUAGAGGAGGAUGACACUGUUUCUUCGCGCAGGCCGUUGAAGAGAAUGAGUUCUCCCGAGAGAUGGGAAGCACAACAAUUGAUUGCUUCGGGGGUUUUGAGUGUUUCGGAGUAUCCGACUUAUGAUGAUGAGGAAGAUGGAGUGAUGUACCAAGAAGAAGGUGCUGAGGAAGAGCUUGAGAUUGAGAUGAAUGAGGAUGAACCCGCCUUCUUGCAAGGGCAGAGCAGAUACUCAAUGGAUAUGUCUCCUGUUAAGAUCUUCAAGAAUCCAGAAGGUUCUCUGGGUCGUGCUGCUGCGCUCCAGUCUGCACUUAUAAAGGAGCGAAGAGAAGUAAGAGAACAGCAGCAGCGUACCAUGCUUGAUUCAAUUCCAAAGGAUCUCAAUCGUCCUUGGGAAGACCCUAUGCCAGAGUCAGGUGAAAGGCAUCUUGCCCAGGAGUUGAGGGGUGUUGGCUUAUCGGCCUAUGAUAUGCCAGAAUGGAAGAAAGAGGCCUAUGGGAAAACCAUUACUUUUGGGCAAAGGUCAAAGCUUUCUCUUCAGGAACAGAGGCAGAGUUUGCCAAUUUACAAGCUAAAAAAAAGAAUUGGUUCAGGCUGUCCAUGAUAAUCAGGUAUUGGUUGUGAUUGGUGAAACCGGUUCGGGUAAGACUACUCAGGUCACACAGUAUCUUGCUGAAGUGGGUUACACCACCAGAGGUAAAAUUGGAUGUACUCAACCCCGUAGGGUGGCUGCAAUGUCAGUUGCAAAGAGAGUUGCAGAAGAGUUUGGGUGUAGAUUAGGAGAGGAAGUUGGUUAUGCCAUUCGGUUUGAGGAUUGCACUGGACCUGAUACCGUAAUCAAGUACAUGACUGAUGGUAUGCUUCUUAGGGAAAUAUUGGUUGAUGAGAGUCUGUCACAGUAUUCUGUUAUAAUGCUUGAUGAAGCCCAUGAGAGAACAAUUUAUACGGAUGUUCUUUUCGGACUGCUGAAGCAGCUGGUGAAGCGUAGACCUGAGUUGCGAUUGAUUGUCACAUCUGCUACUCUUGAUGCUGAAAAAUUUUCAGGAUAUUUCUUUAACUGUAACAUCUUCACCAUUCCUGGGAGAACUUUUCCUGUGGAGAUACUUUAUGCUAAACAGCCAGAAAGCGAUUACUUGGAUGCAUCUUUGAUCACUGUCCUACAGAUCCACUUGACAGAACCUGAAGGAGACAUUCUUCUCUUCUUAACUGGUCAAGAGGAGAUUGAUUUUGCUUGCCAGUCUCUCCAUGAGAGAAUGAAGGGAUUAGGUAAGAAUGUCCCUGAGCUGAUCAUUUUACCUGUUUAUAGUGCCCUUCCUAGUGAAAUGCAAUCUAGGAUAUUUGAUCCUGCUCCUCCUGGGAAAAGGAAAGUGGUUGUGGCUACAAACAUUGCUGAGGCUUCUUUGACAAUCGAUGGGAUAUUUUAUGUUAUUGAUCCGGGGUUUGCUAAGCAAAAUGUUUAUAACCCAAAGCAAGGUCUUGAUUCCUUGGUGAUUACUCCGAUAUCACAAGCGUCUGCCAAACAAAGAGCUGGGCGUGCAGGGCGUACUGGACCUGGAAAGUGUUAUCGUCUCUAUACUGAGAGUGCAUAUAGGAAUGAGAUGUCCCCUACUGCAAUUCCAGAGAUUCAGAGGAUAAAUCUGGGCAUGACUACUCUUAGCAUGAAAGCUAUGGGCAUAAAUGAUCUUCUGUCAUUUGAUUUUUUGGAUCCACCAUCACCCCAAGCACUUAUUUCCGCCAUGGAGCAGCUUUACAGUCUUGGAGCAUUGGAUGACGAGGGUCUUCUAACCAAAUUGGGUAGGAAAAUGGCUGAAUUUCCGAUGGAUCCGCCACUGUCCAAGAUGCUGCUUGCCAGUGUAGACCUUGGAUGCAGUGAUGAGAUUUUGACCAUAAUUGCCAUGAUCCAGACUGGCAAUAUUUUUUACAGGCCCAGGGAGAAACAAGCCCAAGCAGAUCAGAAGAAGGCUAGGUUUUUCCAGGCAGAGGGUGACCAUCUUACACUACUUGCUGUUUAUGAAUCCUGGAAAAGUAAAAACUUUUCUGGACCCUGGUGUUUUGAGAACUUUGUUCAAUCUCGAUCGUUGAGAAGAGCCCAGGAUGUUAGGAAACAACUUCUCUCCAUCAUGGAUAAGUAAGAUAUCUAUCUAUCAAUUUAUAUAUCUUCUGAAAAUUUGCUUGCUUUUGUUUCUUUGUUUUGUACUCUUCAUUUGUUUUUUAGUUCAAUACAUUAAUGGGAAACCUUGUCCAACAUAACUCCAGAGUAUGGAAAAUACGUGGCAAGGGGGAAUGGAUCCUCUCAAUAGGAAAAUCUCACGUCUCUAAUGUGUAUUCAAUCUCACCAUUGAAUGGAAAAAGGUGAGAUGGGUUAUUAAUAUAAAAAUUGAGUAAAAAAACUUAAUGGUGAGAUUGAAUGCACAUGAGAGAAAAUAAAUUGAGAGAAUACAUUCCCGUGUGAAGGAGUUAUAGUCCUAGGUAAUUUUUAUAACAUGAUGAUAAAAAAAACAUGUGAAAUUUGCCUCUUGAAAGGAAAAGCUUAUGAUGGUAAAGGUGAUGUGCCACCACCUCAGUACUAUACUUUGGUGGAAUGGAUUGUGUGAAAAUGUAUAAAAUAAAUAUUAGAGUUCUACUACCUAUGAUAUGUGGCCAUGAUAAUUUUUUUAGAUUGUCAAUCGUUUCAAGUUGUGCCCAGCCUCAACCUGAAACUGAAAGACAGAGAAUGUUGGUCCUUUUUUCCCGGGCUGAGGGGCUAUUCAGGAAUAAGUUAUAACAUAUUUAUGCAUUUAUCUUUUCUGUUAGAGUAGCUAGUCUGAAGAGCACAUGUCUCCCCUUGUGUUUUUUUAGGUCUCUAAAGUUUAGGUGUAGUUGGAACCUUUAGAAUUACGGCCUCACUGCAUACAUGCAUUAUAACAGAUUAAGUUCUCUACAUAAUUUAGAAUACAAUUACAGAUUCAUUUCUAGGUUAUCGAAUUUAUCUCAAAUGUUAUAUCAUAAUUUUCCCGUGCUCGCUCCCUUUCUUUUGGUUUUUAUUUGAUCAUUAAAUUUAGCACACACUGUGAGUCUUAAUCCCGAAGUAUCGUAAUGCAUGUUUCAAAAUUUGUUGUAAUAAGUUAAUUGAAACAUGGUCAAAAUUACAACUAACAAGGGCGUCUUAUUCACAUGCUGAUAUGAUACACUUGUUUGUAACUCUAGUUUCUCAAGGGGACCUUAUCAUACAUGCUGAUAUGUUUCACACAAUCCAUUCCACCAAGGGGACCUUAUCAUAUAUGCUGAUAUGUGCCACCACCUCAUAUCAGCAUCUGAUAAACUCAAAUAAGCUCCUCCAAGGGGACCUUAUCAUAUAUGCUGAUAUGAUACACUUCUUUGUAACUCUAGUUUCUGUGUCUAAAUAAUAUGAGAGUAACAGAUUUGUGCCUGUACAUGUACAAUACUAGGUGUAGUGCAAGAGAUACUAAGGUGAUUAGUCAAUCAACUAUGCAUUUUUUGUCUAGUUCAGUAGUAUACAAAAUAUAUUGAAAAUAGUGCUUUGUCUUCUGUAAUAACAACCAGCAUAUCACUCGACAUCAAUAUCAAUAUAAUUUUAUUAUUUUGAUUAUCCCUUUUCCUCUCGCAGUCCCUGAAUAGACUAAAACCUAACUUCAACGGUAAUUAUACCUAGAGUUUUAUGCUCAGCUAUACCAGCUCCAACACUGAAAUAGAGAGUGUGUGUUCGUACCGAGGGAAUUGAAAAAUUUGAGAGAUAGUCGUACGGUCACAGACUCCCACCAGUUUUGAUCUACUGGAGGAGAGAACCCAGUAUUGUUUCAUGGUUGUGGACCCAACCUGUUUUGUGCAAUUUAACCCACAUGUUUUCACCCUUGCGUGCCCGCCCCAAACUAGCCGUUUCUGCUGUCCAACUAGAAUAAAAAAAAUCAGUGCGACAAUAAGUUGCACCCUGCACGUAUCCAUGCCGUACGUGGUAUGUACUCGCAGUCUCGCACUCUGCCAUUUUUUGUGUACUUGUGUUCGGUGCUUCAGAGAUUAUAAGUAGCCUUGUAUUUGCACAGCAUUUACAACAUUCUAAUUUUAUAACUCGAGCCCAUGAUCUUUUUGUCACAGCAAUGACUUCAGCCCUAUGUCAAGACUCCACUUCAGUUCUAUAUAUUUUAGUUUGCACAAUCUUUUUUAGACUCUCGACGAUUUUACUGAUGCCCUAGAUUUUUAAUGGGGAUCCUCUAAAGUGAGUUAAGUGUAACGUGAGAAAAUCAAAGGUUGUUAUUGUAUCAAACUCAUGAUUUGUUAUGAUGUAUCUGCAAUAUCUACUUUAAUUUGUUAAUUAACGGUUGAUAUUGUCCACUUUACACUCUAAAGUGAGUUCCAAUGUGAGUUGCUCACUUUAGAGGAGCCGGAUCCAUUUUAAAUAUUUUAUUCUCUCUCUCUCUCUCUAUAUAUAUAUAUAUAUAUAUAUAUAUAUAUAUAUAUAUAUAUAAUGAAAGGGAAAUGUUAACUUGUGCCCUAAUGUUAAGGAUUCCACUAAUAGAAAUUAUGUCUCGGAAAUUGCGUUAAUUUAUUGCUCAAAAAAUCUAAUAUUAAUUUUUUUCAAUUAAUACUUACCAUUAGUGGCAAGAAUUUAAUGCUUAACAUGUGCCCUACAAGUUAGCAUGACCCAUAAUGAAAUGGGAUAUUUCUUCUCCAUUAUAUAAGGGAUACCCAAGUAUUUUUUACUCUGGGCUUCUCAUUGCAAUUAUUGUAACCAACAUUUUGCUGUGAUUGUGUGGUUUAUAGUUAUUAUGAUGACAUUAGUCAUGUAAAGUAUCAUUUAUAUUAAAUUGUACUCUAAAUCAUCAACAUUGAUAUUCAGGUACAAAUUGGAUAUCGUGAGUGCUGGAAAAAACUUCUCCAAGAUCAGGAAGGCUAUCACUGCAGGGUUCUUUUUUCAUGCAGCUAGAAAGGACCCCCAGGAAGGUUACAGAACCCUUGUUGAGAAUCAGCCUGUAUAUAUUCAUCCAAGUUCGGCUUUGUUCCAGAGGCAGCCAGACUGGGUCAUAUACCACGAGCUUGUAAUGACAACUAAGGAAUAUAUGCGCGAGGUAACAGUCAUAGACCCCAAAUGGCUUGUUGAAUUGGCUCCAAGAUUCUUCAAAGUGGCAGAUCCUACAAAGAUGAGUAAACGGAAGCGUCAAGAACGUGUUGAACCACUCUAUGAUAGAUACCACGAGCCAAAUUCAUGGCGUUUGAGUAAACGUCGUGCUUGAUAUGCUUUCUCAGUUUCUCUUAAUGCAAGGUCCUGGAUACAUUUUAUGUUGAAUUUAGUUUUAAAUGUAAGUUUUCUCCUAUUAUUAUUAGUUAACUUCAAUGAAAUUUUGUACAUAUUUUUGCUGGUGUUGCUUAUAAAACUUAAAUUAUGAUACAUAGAGUUGAAUCAUAAUGACUGUUCUGCUGGAGAUCAGGAUCGUUUUAGCAGUUAAACCUUCUUUUCUAGAUUUUACCAAUUAUAGUACCAGCAGUGGUUAACAAGUUUUCUACAUUUUGCCAAUUCUGACUCAAAUAAUGAUAUGCAUUUUGUUUUCUAUGUUUUUUUGAGGACUUAUUUUCUCUCCCCUUAAAGUUAAAGCCAUACCAGCUGCAUGUUUCUUUGGCUUUCUUCCUUUAAUAUUGUCUCCCCUUAAAGUUAAAGCCAUACCAGAUGCAUAAUUGCUUAGAUUUAGCAAAGACAUAUUCUAAUAUUACUUUCUGCUGUCAACUUUCUUUAUGCUUACUAGUGUGUUUUGUGACUGAUGAUGGGGAUUACAUGAUUUUCAAAGUUAGUUAGUUAAAAGAUCUUCAUUAAUCUUCUGAUUUUAUUGAUGAUCUUACUUUUCUAACCGUAAGAUGUUGGCAGCACAGAGGCUAGUCCAAGUAACUCUCUAGUACCUUUGUAUCCGUUGGAUUAUUCAUUGCCAUCUCUUGAUGAGGUUUGUUAUGACUUAUGAUUAUCUGUUCUCGAAUUUUCUGGUCAAUCUUUGUGCAUUCAAAACGCUAACCAGUCCUUGUUGAACUUAUACAACAUACUGCCUAAACGUGAACUGCUCUGACUUGUGAAAUACUCACAAAUAUAUGCACUAGCCUUUCUAUUCUGGGCCGGGUGAAGAUGCCAUUAAAGAAGUGCCUGGCGAAAUUUGAUGCUUCAGAAAAUAACACAGAAGAAAGUUGUUCUGAAAAAAGUAUGGUUUUAUUUUCUUCAAUGAAGUUUAUGGCAAUGAUUCUUGUUUCACUGCUCAUAUUUUCAGUGCUUUAAAAUGAAAUGUGCGACCUUAAAUAUCAAUAUAUUUGUAAUAGUGGGAGUGAUUUAUUAGUCUGUGUGUUGAGCAUGAGCUCGAUUUCAUUUUGCAAUAUGCUACUGUCAUUGUCCUUGAUUUUUCAAUUGAUCAUGUUCAGAAUUGAGUCUUUUUUUAUAUUAUCCUUACAUCUUUUUACUAUUUGAUUUGCUUUAGUUAAUUUAUUUAGUGAUGGUCUGUUACAGUGUAUAUAUGGGUUCUGUGAAUUCUUAGUCAAACAAGGCACUUAUACAUUAUCUAUGUUGCAUCUUUGCUAUGGAAAAUGAAGCGAUGGUUAAUGAUAACCCUUUAAAAAGAAGUCUUGGGGGAUAAAAUCUACUCCAAUGGUUGUUGUUAAUUGUGAAAUGGUUUUUUGUGAAAGAUGGAACUGAAGCUUUAGUCAAAGUCUGUGUUGUAGAUCACAAUUUAAAGGAAUAAUUUAUGUUGGUUCUUCCUUGUACUUUGUGACUCUCAUUAGUCUCCAAGUGCCCAAUGAUUGAGCUUUCUAUAUAAUUGCAUAAAAUGACUUAUUUUUGGGGUGAAUCACAAUUUCAGAACUUUUCAGGUCAAACUACACAACAAUCAUGUACUAGGAAUGGGCAAACUCAGGUCAACCAACCCGAUGCAAUCGGGUCCAACCGGUUCGGGUUAAUACGGGUCACGGGUUGUAUGUGUGCACUUUUCAGGUUAUGAUGGGUUUAUUCGGUUCGGUUCGGGUGGACAGUUUGAACCCUUAUGUACCCUAACCCGAACCGAAUCAUUAUUACUAUUAAUUUUAUUUAUUUAUUUAUUAUUAAUUGUUUGUGUGAAGCUCUGUUCUUCUCUCCCUCACAUGAUGAGUUGGCUUUUUAUUUUAUUUUUCCACCUACAUUUUUUUUAUUAAUUAACAAUUACAUUAAAAAAAAAAUUAAAAACACCAUAUCUUCAUCUUCUUCCUCACUAUCUCAUUCUUCUAUCAUCAUUUUUCCAGAUUUUUUUUUUCUUACUCUCUUACUCCACCUCCCUUCAAUCUCUUUGCUUCCAUGAGACUUAAACUCCAAAUCAAUUAAACACACAACAACAACACAACAAAGUCAGCAUAACAAAACACAAUACAACAUCUUUUUCCGAUAAAAAAAAAACUCACAACAAAUCCUCCUUUCUCUCAAAUCAAAGCAGCAGCAACAACCCACAUUAAACACAACAACAACAAUGCGAGCAUCAAACCCAGAAAAUAAAUCAGCUUGAAUCCAACCUUCUUCUGUUCGAAUUCUGUUCCAAUCAGCUUGAAUCAAUCCCAAAAAGAGAAGGUGGGAGAUAACAGAAGGAAGAACAUAAACAUAGAAGAGAAAGGUGGGACAGAAGAGAAGAAAAAAGAAAAAGAAAGGAAGAAAGAGAGAGAGAAGAGAGUGAUACGGUGGAGAGAAGAAAGAAGAGAAUGAUUGUUUUUUUUUUUUUUUAAUUAAAAGAAAUUUAAAUGGAAUAACCAAAAAUAGAAAAGAACUUUUGUAAAAAAAAAUUAGAAGGAAGAAUAAAUAAGGAUGAGAUCUGGAGAAGAGAAUGAAGAACAAUGGGGAAAAAGAGAGAAGAUGAUACCCGCUGAAGAAGAAGAGAAAGGAAAAUAAUCGAGUUUUUUAAUUUAUCAUUAAGGGUAUUUUAGGUAUUUCACAUUUUUAACAUACUUUUAAAAAUAAAAAAUAUGAUGUGUCAUUGCCACUUCACUCAUCACUACACAGUCAGCGUGCCACAUCAAUUCAUUAAUCCAGUCAGAUGGCAUCAGGGUUGAAAAUCAAAGAAUCUUCAUUUUACAAGGGGGAUUCUCCAAUUUUUUUUUUGUUAGGGGGGUAUACCAAAAGACCCCCAAAUAGCAGGGGGUAAAAGUCUAUUAACCCUAUUUUUAUUUUAUUUUUCAAGUUAGUUCACUAUAGUUUUUUCAAGUUAGUUUAGUGGAGUUGUUCUCACUCAUUAUUGAUUUUUAAGUUAGUCCUUUCUAUUCUUAACAUCAACGCGAACGUUUGAGAUCAACUUAAAACUAUUAAAAUAUAAACGAUCAACUUCAAAAUUGCCCUUUUAUAUAAAUUUUCUUAAAACCUAAUUUUAUUCAUUGUCAGUGAGUUUCACCCUCUUUCACCCCAUAAAGCGAUCGAUCAAACAAUUUGAUGUUCAAUAUCAAUCUCCAUGAAAAUUAAAGAGUGAAUCAAAAUAUUUUUCAUCCAUACUCAAUUGGAUAUAAGUAAGUGAAUUUCUUCUUCUAUUUGCUAGUUUCAAUUUUUUUCCUUCAACUGCACUGAUGCACUGUACGAUUACGGUUUUAAUUUACAUUGGCAAGAUUAACUUAAAUUCAGUUUAAGUAGGUUCAUGUAAACUAAGUUUACAUGAACCUACUUAAAUUGAGUUAACAUGAACCUACUUAAACUGAGUUUACAUGAACCUACUUAAACUGAGUUUACAUGAACAUACUUAAACUGAGUUUACAUGAACCUACUUAAACUGAGUUUACAAAAUCGCAGAACUGUGAAUCGCAGAACAAGGAAAACACAAAAUCAGAACUGAGAACCCAUAACAAGAAAAACACAAUCGAUUGAAGAACAACACUUGUUAACCUGAUUUGCUUCGAAUUUUCUUUGAAAUCAUGAAUGGACGUGAGAAAGUAUGGUUUUGAAAAUCUUCGCAGAACACAAUCGAUCGGUUGGAGAAUUAUGGUUUUGGAAGAAGAGUUUUGGGGUGUAACCAAAAAAGAAGGAAUAGGCUUUUUGUAAAUCAAAUUUUAUGAAAGGAUAAUCUUGUCAUUUUAGAAUGCAACUAUGAUUAACUAGGGUGCAAGUAGAAAAACUCUUAGUUUAAUAUUUAAAAAGAUUUUAUUUUGGUGAGGUAUUUAUUAAUAAAACUAAAUGGUAAAAGAAAAGACCAUAUAAAUGUAUAUAAAAAGUGAAUUUUACUUAUAUCAACCACGGAUGGUGUAUUGAGUAGUUUGUUGUAAUUGUAAUCAAAUUGGAGGUGGACGAGGGUUUAGAGAGCGAACGGCGAGAAUCGAGAAAGUUCAAAAAUGGCUUCGUCGAAGAGUGGUAGCGGAGCGAUGACUCUAGAGAGGAUGAGCGUUGAACAGUUGAAAGCAGUUAAGGAACAAGCAGAUAUGGAAGUUAACCUUCUUCAAGACAGUCUCAACAAUAUCGGCACCGCAACCACUCGUCUUGAACUCGCUACCACCGCUCUCAACGAUCUCUCUCUCCGUUCCCUCGGUAGUAAAAUCCUUGUUCCUCUCACCGCUUCCCUCUACGUUCCUGCUACUCUUCAAGAUCCUCAUCACGUUCUCGUCGAUAUCGGAACUGGUUAUUUCGUCGAGGUGAGCUCUUUCCCCGAUUAAUUAAUUUAGAUCUGUAAUAUAUAUUCGUCUUUUUAGGUUUAAGGAAUAUUAAUCUUGAUUUGAAUGUUGUGUUGAUGCUGAAAACAGAAAACCAUGCCUGAAGGAAAGGAUUACUGCGAGCGCAAAAUCAAUUUACUCAAAUCUAACUUUGAUCAACUUGUUGAGGUAAUUAAUUUUGUUAUUAAGUACUCCUAUUUGAUCUUGAUAUAUGUAUUUAUACAAAAUGCGGUUAUUUUGUUGUGGAGAGUGAUCAUUCAAAUAACAUUUGUUUUAGUUUGAACCCUAAUUUGAUAUUUUGUCAGGAAACGAGCUUAAUCAUUUUGGCUAAACUAUAAUGAAAUCUUGUUCAAGAAAAGUUCAUGAUGUAAUUACAAAUGCAGGUUGCGUCCAAAAAGAAAAAUGUCGCGGAUGAAGCUGGGGUUAUUUUACAGGCAAAAUUGAAGCAAUUAGCAUCGUCAUCCUAAAGUUAGCUGGUUUAGAAUUCAAUUACUUUUUAACAACGCGUUGUAUGUGUACCAUAGAAAAUCAUAACAGUGGUGUUAGAGUUGGUUAUGAUAUAUGUUGUUGAAACCUUUUAUUGAAAGAAUUCCCUUUUUUGUUGUGAUGGUUCAGAACAUUAGUUUGAAACUAUUGGAACUGUAUUUAGAAAAUCUAGUUGACCAAUGGCAUUCAAGAUUUAAAAGGUUACUGUGGAAAUAAGCAUUGGUCUUUCAAUCACACAAGUCAUUAAUCAGAGCAAGCAGGCUGUUGAGCACUCCAUGCUCUUUAUCAGGAGGGAUGGCACCACCAAUUUUACUCACCAUUUUCUUUCUUUUACUAUGCUCGAAAUGCUCUUUAUUGGCUUUUACCAUAUAACGUUGUAGGCAUGUUGUCAUUUCCUCAUUUGAUGUUAGGCUCUCGGUAGAAGACAAUGGUGUCCUGAUAUGUAAUUACCCCUCUCCUUUCUCUAUCCAUUAGAAUAGUGCAAGAGGGUAUGAGUGUGUCCAAGAGGGCUAUGAUAUAAGGGAUGCAUGCCUAGGGUUUAAAUGUCUUGGAUUUUGUUAUAACUGUUUAUUUUAAUUUUACUAGUUAUUCUUGAAAAGGAGAGAGGAGCAUCUUAGAAUACACGAUAACAGGGUGACAUGCUCCUAAAUUGUGUUUUUGUGAUACGAAAACUGCAUAAAAAACUUGGCAAUUAUUAUGGAAGUUGUGCCAAUAGAGAAAUUUGAUUACAAAUGUGAGUUUGAGAAAAAUGUAUAUGGAUUAUUUAAAACCAUGUUUAGGAAUUGUACUAUAAAAUGAUGACUGUUGAAGGUUGAAUAGAGAAGUCUCUUUGAGGGGUUUUAAGGUCGGGUGUUAAGAGAUGCCAUGUAAAAUGCAAUGGCUAAGGGAUCACGGGCAGAAUGAGGCAUAUAGCCAAAGAUAUAGAUUAUUGGUGGUAGGAUGGUAGUGUUAAAUAUAUAAUGUUACGAACGAAAGAGUGUUAUUUUACAUGUUUCAUGUGUAAAAUAAGGAAAAUGGAAAUAAAUAUUAUGUGAUGUAGAACGAUACAGAUAACAAGUGGACAUAUCUUUCUACAUGCUGGCUAAAAGUACAGAGCGAAAAACAACAUAUUUGAAUCAAGUAAAGUACAUUACGCAUUAGGUAUUAGGAUUGUGGAGAAAAAUCAUUGAGCAAGAUAUCAAUGAUAUAUGGCAGAAUUAGUUUCGUAAUAUUGCAAUGCAAGUAAUGGGCAUUGCAUGAUACCAGACAAACUUAACGUCAAGAACAUCAGGCAUGAUUCACUGUGUUUUUGGUUAAACCAUAGAUCCGUGUUUUUUUAAUUUCCAACCAUGGAAAGCAGGUCACAAGAUAAUCCUUUUUUCAUGUAUAAAUGAGACGUGCUUGAGCACUUUCUGGCUAUUCCCUUUCCGACUCCUUAACUGUUGCCAAAGAAAUAAAAGCCACAUACAAUAUUUUCACGCCUCCUUGAUAACUAUGAAAUGCGCAGUAGUUCACAGUAGUUUUUUUCCUCCAGGAAUGAUAAAUGAACACAAAAAACCAAACACAAUACAGACGCCAUAUGUCACUCUAGUUUUAUACAUCUUUUUCAUUAUUUUUUUUUAAAUUUUCUCACCAUCUCUCUCGGCCAUCCUUCUCUAUGUUCAACGCCGGUUCUCCAGCCACCGCCGCCGUUGUAACUUCUCUCACUAAUCACCGCCGUCGUCACUGCUGCCGUCUUUUCUUCUUUCAGUCCUGUAAACGUGUUAUGAUCGGAUCUGCGGUGGCGAGGACGGAUCCAAGCUCAGUUCUCGUCGGAGUUUUGAACAGAUCUAUUUUCUCAGUGAUGAUUUGAUGUUGGUGAGGACGGUAGUGAUCCGAACAGAUUCCGGCGGUGUGAGGGAGAAGAAGGGGUCGUCGGUGAUGUGAAGUCUUGCUGGUUUGAGAGAGAGAAAACGUGAAGAAAAAGGGAGAAGGAAGAAGGAAUGGGAUAGGAUGAGCUUUUACAAAAUUACCCUCUGCUUAAAUGUUGAAAUGUUAAAAUUACUCAUGGUGCUGCAUUUGUGUCUGAUAAUUUGUGUUUGGUUAUCAUUCCUGUUUUUCCUUUCUGCUUCACAAACACUCCAGUUUUAACUGUAGCAAUUUAGUAGUGUACAUCUUUUUCGCACUGCCCUGCAUGAUGAUUAUUUUCAUGCGUUAUUGUGGUGAUAACUUAUAAAGGUUUCAUAUGCGAUGACUGAACUACAUCAAUCGUUCAGGUGUUAUUGUAAAUAAAUAAUAUAUUAACAAACUCUUCAUAUUUACCAGUGUGUUUUCACCAUGACAAUAGACAAUUCCUUCACUGUGAACUUUAAUUUUGGUCAACCAAUGAAAGAAAACGUGAAUUAUAAGGCGUUUGUAUUUUACUACAAGUAUAGUAUUUUUCAAACGAUAACUUCAUGUAGCCGAGUAGCAAUGAUAACAAUGACUAGUAUAUUGUACCAAAAAAAAAAAAACAAAUGACUAGUGUGUGUAUAUAUAUAUAUAUAUAUUUGGGUUAAAUAUGUUUUUGAUCCUUAUAAAUAUACCAACUUUUCAUUUUAGUCCCUCUAAAAUUUUCAUUCAACUUUCAGUCCCUAAAAUUUUUUUCAUCUUCACUUUUGGUCCCUCUCUUAAAGUAAACUCAUAUAUAGAAUACAUAUUUUUGAAUAAAAUUGUGCAGAAAAAUGCAUAAUAUUAUAAGAAACUCUCCCCAAAAAAAUUAGAAUUUUUAACAAAAUAUGAAUUUAAUAUGAAUUUUUAUAUGUUUGACGGUUAAAAAUUCAUAAUUAAUUUAUGUUUUGUUAAAAAUUUUAAUUUUUGGGGUAAUAUUUUUACAACAUUCUACACAUUUCUGCACAAUUUCAUUAAAAAAUACAAAAAUUAACUUAAAAAUAGGGACCAAAAGUAGUGAUUGAAAAUUUUAUAAGGACUAAAAGUUGAAGGAAAAUUUUAAAAGGACUAAAACGAAAAGUUGAUAUAUUUAUAGAGACCAAAAACAUAUUUAACCCUAUAUAUUUUACAGAAUACCAUGGUUAUAUUAAAAACUCCGAAAUUGCACAAUUUAAUUGUAGAAAUUGACUUCUAUUUAUGGUAGAAAAUGUUUAAAACAAACAUAAUCACACGCACAUAGAAAACAUAUUCACGCAUAAACUUAGUUAUGGGAUAUCUAUUGUUACAAUGCAAUUCGUAUCUAAGAAAUUCAAUAGUUUUGGUUUCCCUUCAGUAACUAAUCAAUAACUAUCCUUGUUUUCUCCUUUUCUUUUUGCGGGUUCUGCUAACGAGUAUUCUAAGGGCACUCUUUAAGGUUUCCCAAUUAAGAAAUUAUUCUUUGAAAAAGUUUAACACUUUAAUUUCCGGUGCAUUGAAUGUACAAUUUUCCAUAAAUUUAUUAUUUAGAGUUCUUAAAAAGUGCCUUAGAACACUCGUUAACAUUUUCCUUUAUUUAUUCUUAAAAAUAAACAAACAACAUAAGUGACCUUAUAAAAACAUAACUACCCAUAACUCCCAAUUAAGUUAUGCCCUCUUCUCUUAGAUUGUUCUCUAAUAAUAAGACUAACAAUACUCUGCCUAAAAGAAUCAUUGCCUUCAAGGUGAAAUUAAGAAAAUUGUUUCAUGAUAGUUACAACCAAUUCCCAAGUGGUUUCACAAACCACUUUUUCCCUCUAUUAUCCAUCAAGUUUCGUGGAUUAGCAUAACCUCAGACACCAUCUUCAUUUUACCGCGUCUUCAUUCACCAAAAUUGUCAUUUUGAAUAGAUCGAACUGUAGUUUGUUGCAACAGUCUCCAUUAGCUCAUUCAAUUUUCUUCUAGCUCUCAACCUCUCUUGUUCAAGACCCUUUCCAGAUUUUCCGUCCUGGAUAACAGCCCCUAAAUCCACGCUCAUAAUCCCUAUGUACACCUCCAUGCUUUGCCUUGAAACCAUCUAAUCCCUAAGAUCUUAUUAAAAGCUGAUGCCAAAAUACAAUUUAAUUGUAAAAGCUAACAUCACGGUAGAACAUGUGUAAGACAGAAACAUAAUUACACACUUAGAGAACGCAUGAUUCACACAUAAACAAAGAAAAGAUAUAUAGUACCGUUACAAGGCACUAUCAGUAUCCCUCUCGUGUUCAGUAGAAUCAGCACCAAUGAUAAUGGAAUUGUACUAUUAAUCUGUACAAUAGCAUCCAUGAAGCCGAUCUAUUGUAGAAUAUACCGUUAUUGCAUAGUUGCAUAUAAAUGUAAUAACAGAUGCAGCAAAAUAUGGUGAUAUUCAUGUAGACAUUUAAAAACCUUUAGUUCAUUUUUCUCCAUGACUCAUUCAACUACAUCCUCUUCCCUAAAUGAUAUUAUUGAGCCGCAUCUAAAGUAACAAGACAAGAUUACAUUUCAUUUUUUUUAAAACACAAAAUAGUUUCCAGGACAGGUUGAUAAAAAUCCCAUAAUCUGCCUCCCAAUUUCUCGCAAAUGAUUAUCAUCAAUUUACAAGGUGCAUCACAGAUGAUGAAUAAACCCAAAUUCAUUUGUCAACAAAUGAAGAUUCUGCAAGAUCAAUGGCACGUGCAAGGGCUGCAGCUUUGUUCUCGCAUUCUCUUUGCUCAUCGGCUGGAUCACUGUCAGCCACAAUUCCUGCUCCAGCCUGGAGAUGGGCAAUCCAUUCUCUGCGUUUGUUGACAUCCUUGUACGAGUACAUCGUAUCAAAGCGAGUAUUAGUAGGGAAAACCAUUGUCCUCAGAGCAAGAGCAAUGUCCAUAUCACCGGAAAAAGAUAUGCCUCCAAAUCCACCACUAUAUGGACCACGUCUUGCCACUUCUAACUGAUCAAUCAACUCCAUGGCUUUUACCUGUUUUACAGCACAGCUAAUGAGAACUAUUUAGGAACAAAGAAGCCAAACAAAGACUCAACCUAGCAGUUCUAGGCACAAGUGUAAAUGUUAAUCCCCACCCAAACAAUCCCAAAUUUAUCCAACCCAAUGGAUGUCAAAACUGAAGGAAAGUGCUGCUGACCAUUCCAGAAACUAUACCGUGAAGAACCUAUAAAAACCUAGAGCAUAAUUUACCUUUGGCGCUCCGCUGACCGUACCAACAGGUAAUGCAGCCCGCAAUGCAUCCCAGCUUGUUAGGCCAUCUAAUAACUCCCCGGUUACCUGCAAAGACGGUUACAAUUUAUCAUCCAAAGAUAAGGUUUUGAACUAAAUGGAGUCUAGUAAAAUCAGAAGGCACUCUAGCUAACUAGCUUGCACAUAUUCUAGUUUCUGGAUGCAAUAGUGGAUAUUGCAAGGUAAAGGGAAAAAAAAAAUUGACUAAUGGGUGAAGGAAAAUUAUAAAGUUGGCAAUAUGGAAUUUUAAGGAAAGAGUAUAUAUACACGUAUAUAUUUAGUCUAAACUAUUAAUAUAAUUUGCAUUAAAGAACUUACAGUAGAGCUGAUGUGCAUAACAUGGGAAUAUCGCUCAAUAUUCAUAAGUUUUUCAACUUGAACAGAACCGGGUUUGGAGACCUGCAUAUCAACAGAACAAUGGUUAUGACAUAAAAAUAGCAUUGUGCAGCUCACACAAUCUGCUCAAAGUGUAAAACAAUUAGGAUUCAUACGGAACCAAACAGUAAAGCAGCUAUGGAAUCCAUAUCAACACAACAUAUAAACAAUUAUAUGUUAGUUACCAUUAUGAAAUUUUGACUACUUCAAAAAGGUGGAUUCUAUUGUAAUUUGGCUGUGUACAUAUUAAACAAUGACAUUCGCCCAAAGCGUAUUGACAAAAUUCAUUUAUUUGUAAAAUCAAUAUCUAGUGUUGAAGAUAAAUAUUCUGAAAGUAUAUAAUAAUUUUUAAUUUAUGUAUUAUAUAAGAGAUACAUUUUAUCCCCUCAAAUAAAAUAAAAAGAGAGAAAUGCAUUUUAUGAAAAUGAAAAGAAGGAAGUUAUCGUCCAUCAAUUAAUCUUAUAAAGCAAAUGAUUCACAUCGGCAUUUCAUGGAGGUUGAUGAAGUUUUGGUGGCACAACAAUGGUGUAAAUAUGAUGAAAAACACUAUCCCAAAGGGUCCACAAUAAAAUCAUGGCUAAAGUGCACUUUUCCCCCCUUAACUUUUAAAAAGUUGCAAUUUUGGCCCCCUAUGUAUAAAAACUACAAUUUUGGCCCCCUAAGAUUUAGCCCCUUUGCAUCUUUGGUCCUUUUGGCCAAUUUUGACCAAGUCAACGCUGAUUUGUCACUUCAUUAAAGGAGGUGGCAGGCCACAUGUGUAUAUCCAUAUUUUUUUAAAAAACAAAAUGCCACGUUUAAUUACUUGAAUUAAAAAAUAUAUAUUGGAAAGGCUUGUCACGUGACUAACCCCUCUUUCAACCCUUCUACCUAAACCCUUUUUCUCUCUACCAAUACUACCCUUCAUCAAACCCAACAACUUUUACCUUAAAAAAAAAAACCCAAGCAACUUCAUCUACUCUCAUUCUCUUCCAUAUUACAAAAGCAAUCAUCUGCACCAAAUCAUCUUUUCAUUUUCACCCAAGGUCCGUCAGAACCAUAUCAAAAAUUAUUGUUGCAACCCAUUGAUUGCAAUCAUGUUAACUAUUGAUCACAAUCACACCCUUUUUCUUCUAUCUCUACUAAAAAUAAAAAAUACAUAUAACAUGAGCACCACUGUAACUGAACUUGAACAAGAAGAAUUUCUUGAGAAAUUAAAAGUCUUCAAAAUCAAAGACAGAGAUAAGAAAUUUGCGGUGUUGUAUAUUCACACCGGUGUUCAGAGGAGUGAGAAUUUUGCCGGAAUUUCUUCUCUCUGAUCGGUUUACCAAUAACCGUAAAACCUUUCUAGUAUUUGUUUCACUUUCACACACUCACUCAUUCUCUUUUCGGAAAAUUUCUUCUUCUUUGGUUUACACAUUCACUCUACUUUUCACAACCAUCAGUGAAAACAUCUCUUUCAACAAUGAGAUUUGGAUUGCAGAAAGACAAAAAAAGUUAUUUAGAUCUGGAUUGAAGUUUGUGUUUGAUUGUAAAUUACCCAAACCCUUAAAAUCAACUUUUGGAGUUUAGUUGGGUUAAGUUGGGUUUGAUAGAAAACCCAGAAAUUGUUUAAGGAUUUAAUUUGGUUUCUAAAUUGAUUUUAAGUUUUUGGUUUGAUUUUGUGAAUAGAGAAGAAGAGAAGAUGAUCAAGAACAUUGGUUCCCUGUGAUGAUAUUAUGAAGAUUUGAGAUUUUGGGGAAAAAUAAUUAUUUUGGGUUUUUUGAAGUUGGUAGGUG